RNAcentral lists this long non-coding RNA (54554 nucleotides) under Marmota monax (woodchuck). The record is from RNAcentral. Lineage: Eukaryota; Metazoa; Chordata; Mammalia; Rodentia; Sciuridae.
UAAAUUUGGAUUCAUCAGUGUGGUGAGCCGCUUCUGCCGUUUCUGCAGACUAUGGUCGCCAUUACAAGAUGACGCUGGCUCCGCUGUGGUCUGUGACAAACAACUCCUUAUCUGGGAAAGUUGGCACAUGAUUUUUCACCACCCUGUGAGAAAGCUCCACGCGGCAGCUUUGCAUUGGGGCUUGGGAUGCUUUAUUAAGGCUGGGAGGGGCAUCCGAGAGAGAGAAGAAGAAAUAUCAAGGGCCUGAAUAAACUGUUGAAAGAAGAUUCCCGAGUUGCGUCUUCCUUGCGGGCAAGGGGUCGCAACAAGUGGUGCCGAGACCCGGGAACCAGAACUUUCAGCAGUCAGGGGUGGUGCACCGGUUAGUCCCAGGUAAGUGGGAUCCGCGAUCAAAGCGGGGUUAGUCCCUAGUAAGUGGGAUCCGCGACCAAAGCGGGGCAGCUCCUCUGUAAAGAAAGAGAGAGCAUUACAUUUUAUUGCAGCUGCACUGUGUACUUUCGCUUUUGUUUUCUGUGUUUCUUUUGUUGUGUCAUUUCGCUUUUGUUUUUUGUGCUUCUUUUGUUGUUGUGACGACAGGGACGCUCCCCUGUAAAAGGAAGAGAGCGGGGACUUUUGUACUUUCACUUUCUUUAUAGCUCUAAAAACAUUAUGGGCGUUGCUUCUUCAAGCCCAAUUUUGUUGGCCCUAGAUGGGUUGUUACAUUCAAAAGGACUUAAGAUAAAGCAGAGUACUUUGCAGAUGUUUUUAAGAGAAGCUGAUAUAGCGGCUCCUUGGUUUGCUUUUUCAGGGAGUCUUACGGUUCCCAGCUGGGACAAAUUAGGGAAAGAUCUAGAUUUCGCUCAUGAGCAAGGUACCUUGCAGGGUGGCAUUAUACCACUUUGGAAGUUAGUUAGAGGAUGUAUAACAGAUGGUAAAUGCCAGGAAGCUGUGAGUGAGGGUCAAGCUAUUCUUGAGCAAUUGCAUGAGGAAAAAUCUGAAGGAUCAUGUAGUGAAGUGGCAGAGAGUAUUAAAAGUAACAGUAGUGAGAAGGCAAAAGAGCCUGAAGAUAAAAAUAGGAGAAGGCUCUACCCAGACUUGACCGAAUUAAAAACGCCUGAGAACACAAGCGACUCAGAGAGUUCUGAGGACCUUGAUAUAUUGUUACAACAACUACAUAAGAUAAAAAUGAAAAAGAAGAAAAAGGAGACACAGGGCACGCAGGCCUACUGUAAGAAGGGGAAGGGAGUUAACAUCGGUCAACAAAACUCUGAGGAGGAGGAGGUAGAAUAUCUAGAAGAAGAUAUGGUGCCGAUUGCCCCACCUCCGUAUGUGGGGGGGAGCCAAGGUUCCGGGAGAUCUUUUCAUGCACAAGUUUGGAGGACAGUUAAUACAGAUAUGGGACUUGCAUACCCUGUAUUUCAGGACAAUAACAGGGGAAGAUAUCAUGAGCCUUUAGACUUUAAGAUAAUUAAAACCUUGGCAGAAUCUGUCCGCACUUAUGGCAUAGAUGCCGCUUUCACUCUCACUCAGGUGGAGGGACUUACUAGAUUUUGCAUGACUCCCUCAGAUUGGGCUAGUCUAGUCCGCGCUUGUGUUUCCCCAGGGAAAUAUUAGGAGUCCAAAGUUGGCUGUUUAAUGUUUCUGGCAGUACCCAAGACUCGGAGCGAGGUAGGAGGCUUAAAAUUUCUGCAAAUAAUUCACAAUUAUCUAAUGCUACAUUACCCUCCGCAGCAGUCUGUCUCCAAUCUCCGUUCCUGUUUCUUUUGGCUAAUGUUACAUUACAGGGGAUGCUUAAUUGUUCUAAUAUUACCUGUUAUUUGUCUGAGUGUUGGAAUGGCUCCUGGACUACGGCAAUGGUUAUGAAAUUUCCAACCUUUGUCCCGAUCCCGGUUACUGCAGAUCCAGAGUCAUUUCCUAUUGUUGAACUGAUUAGAGCCCGUAGAGAUUUUGGAAUUACGGCAGCUAUAGUGACAGCUGUGGCGGUAUCUGCUGCUGCAGCAGUUAUAGCUGGAGUAGCNAUUUAACACUUUGCCUCUAUUGAGAUGAUCAUAUAUUUUGUCUCCUUUAUUUUAUUAUAUUUAAACACACACACACACUCACAUAUACACAUAUAUAUUCACAUGCAUUUAUUAUGUGUGUAUCGAAUAUAUGUAUGGCAUUAUGUAUACACAUGCAUUUAUACACACAGAUAUGUUUACAUAUAUUUGUCUAUUAUUUUGUAAUUCCUAUCUUAUUGAGUCUUAUUUUUAAAAUUAGAACUGGAUAUUAAAUAUUUUCAAGGCUCUUUCUCAGCAUCUAUAUAUGUAAUCCCAUGUGCAUUCUCUUUUUAUGUAAUGAUAUGGUGCAUGUUCGUGAUUUCUGACAAUAAAGCCAGUGUUGUAUUCAUUGAAGAAAUAAAAAAAAAAUCUUCUCUAAAAUCUCUUUUAAAAUUCUUUUUAUUUCAUGUUUAUUUCCAUAAGUAUUUGAGGCUAUGCAUUUCUCUGUGAUUAUUAUUUUGCAUGCAUUGCUUAAACUAUGUGCUUUUAAAAAUCAUUAUUGUAUUUUACAGAUUCUAUAAUUUUGAUUUAUAUACCCUCUUAACUGGAAUAUUUAUUUCAUAGAGAUUUAAGUUUUCAUGUGGAAUUAACUUUUUUAUUUCUAGAUUUAUUUAUUUCAAUUUUUAUUGCAUUAGAUUUGAAGAAACUUUUCUUAAUUUUUUGAUUUUAAGGAGUUUAUGAUUCUGUAUGUGAUCUAACACAUGAGAGAUUUUAUACAACUCAUGUAUAGUUGAGGAAAAUGUUUCCUUUAUAAUAGCAUAAAAUUUUACAUAUAUGAAUAAUAUCUACCUUAUUGAUUUUAUUUUUAGAUAUUUUAUAUCUUCAUUUACCUUUUUGCCCAUUUCACUUAUUCUGAACUAUUAACACUACAUAUGUCACUAUAUAUGUACAUAUAUACACAUACACAAUAUACAUGACACAUAUCAUUGUUAUUUUUCUGAUGUUUUAUUUUUUACUAUUUAGUCAAUUUCUGUUUCUCUGCAUACCUAGUAUUUCUUAUAAGUGUUGUAUAAUUUGUGUAAAAAAAAUUAAAUAAAGGAAGACCAACUUGAUGGCUAGAGGCUUUUUUUUUUUCCCUUGUAGAAGGGGUUUAUUUUACUUCUCACAGAGAGGUAAAUUAGUUGCUCUAGACAAGGAAUGAAUUGAUUCUAAGCUGGACUUGGCUUUGGUGGCCUGAGUCCAUUUGUAAUUCUCCCUCAUUCUGACAAUGUAGCCCUAAGGAGCCUAAGAAAACACCUGGGAUGUCCACAGGGUUCUUUCAAGUUUGUAGGUCAUAUACUUCAGUUUUUUGUACCUUCAGCUUUGAGAAAAGUCCAAGAAUUUUUUCCCAGCUUCUAUGCACCUCCUGUUUUCUCUCAAAUUCUUAGCUUUUUCUAACUUCACCUUUGAAUUGGUAAAUGCCUCAAUGGAAAAAAAUUCAAAAGUCGGUUUCAGAAAUUCAAAAGUUGAUUUCAGGAUUUUGGUAUUGUUUUCUGCAGAGCAGUGGUCUUAUAAAUUCUUGAAUCCUUGAUAGAUUUCUGAUAAUACCAAAUAUGUGUGAGCAUUUUGUCUAGCUUUUUGGUUGUUAUCAUUGGACAGUUGGUUAGAAGUAGGUUGGCCUAUCACUGCCAACUGCAACCACCAUAUUUUAAAACAAAAUAGUUGAUGUUAAAUAUGAAUUCUCUUUUCUUGUUCAUCUUUUUACUUUCCUUUAGCAAUAAACUAUUUGUUUUAGUCAGCUUUUUCAUUGCUGUGACUAAAAACAAAAACAAAAAAACUGACAAGAACAAUUAUAGAUGGAAAAGUUUAUUUGGGGGUUCAGAGUUUCAGAGGUUUCAGUCUGUAUGUAGCUGGCUCCAUACCUUGGGGAUCUAAUGAGGCAGAACACCAUGGUGGAAUGAUGUGGCAGAGGAAAGCAGGUCAGGAUGUGGCCACGAAGAAGCAGAGAAAGAUCUGUGCAUAGUUCACGAAAUAUAUACCUCAAAAGCAUGCUCCCAAGUUAGCACCUCCUUCAGCCACACCCUGCCUGCCUACAGUUACUACUCAAUUAAUACCUAUCAGUGUAUUUACACACUGACUGGGUUAAGACUCUCAUAACCCAAUCAUUCCACUUCUAAACUUUCCUGCAUUGUCUCAAACACAAGCUUUUUGGGGACACCUUUAUAUAUAAACCAUAACACAAUGUUUUCUGUAUGACUGCCAAUAUUUGGGGAGCAAUUACUUUGUUAAGAUUUGCAAUCUUCCUAAGGCAUUCUUAACUAAUAAGAAAAGACAUAGCAGAGUAGAUUUUUCUUUCUCAGUUUUCUUUACCCUUGAAUUGUGUUAACAAACUGAAAAAAUAUGAAGCGUGUAUUAGAUUGGUAAAUAUAUUUUCUCAUAGUAUCUAAUUUAUACUAUAAUCCAUAGUAUCUAAAGAUGUUAUACUGUUUCUUCCAGUGGUAGAUAUGUAUAUAUUAGCCAGCCAAUCCUUUAUAGCUUCAAUUAAAUAGUAUUCUUGUCAGGGGAAAGUUUUUUUUGCUUUGUUUUGUUUUUUAAACAAUCUCUUCUGUAAAAAUAUUCAUUUAUUACUACUAAACCCAGAAUAAUGACCAGGAGAUAUAACUAAUGAAUAAUAAGGAAGAAAGACCACUUAUAUUUGAUAACAUUUACAAGUUAAAAGAUCGAAUAUUUGCUUACUACUUUAUGCAGCUUUUAAAAGUAUAAGUAAAACUUACUAUUACUUACUUUAAAAUAUAUUUUUUAGCUAUCAAUGGACCCUUAUUCUAUUUAUUUUUACAUUGUUGAGAAUCAAACCCAGAGCCUCACACAUGAUAUGCAAGCAUUCUAACACUGAAUUACAAACCCAGCCCCCCAAAUUACUAUUAUUUAUAAUAGAAAAGAAAAAAUUUGUAUCAUAGGCAGAGUGAUUAUACCCCAAGGAUAAGCUCACUUUUAAUGUAAUGGGUACCAUUAUAAUUCAACAGAAAAUUUUUAUGGCUUUGAAAAAUUGCCCAUUUCUGAGUUCAGGUGUAUGAAGAAAUUGGGUGCUUAUGAAAUCAUUAAUAAAGAUGAUAUAAAAUUAAACCAAUUAUAACAAAGAAAACAUUUAUCCAGACUCUGCUUACAAUGCUUAUAUUUUAGAUACUUUAUUAUAGAGUUAUAUAAUACAUAAGGAAUUAAUAUAUUUCACAAGAAACUUCAUUAUCAGCUAAGUGCCUAUUAUGCAUAUGGUGAGAACAUUAUUCAUAAAAUCUGGUUUAAAAUUUAUCUACACUUAUUUAUACUUGAUAGAAGCGAAUUUUAAAAAUAUACUUGAGUACAAAGCUAGAAUAUCAUUUCAAAAUAGGCAUAAAUGGGCAGGGACAUGAUGUACAUAUGCACAUGAUGACACUAUAAUAUUAAAUCCAUCAUAUUUCAAUUAUUCUGCUUCAUUUUCAUGUGAAUAUUAAUCCCAAAUAUUAAAGGAAAUCUGACUCUACUUGAACAUUGAUAAGAAGUCAACCUUCAGGCAUAGUCAUCUUUUGCAAUGUUGUCAAGAAACUUACAUGAAAGGUCACAUGAUAUUUUUUUAAAAAAUUGACCUGUUAUUUGUCUACUUAAUCUAGUUAACAAAGUUUUUGUCUGUUUGGUUUUUUAAAUUUUUUUAUUAAAUUAAUAUAAGGCAUAGCCUUAAAGAAUGUCUACACACACACACACACACACACACACACAAAUACCUGUGCCUUUCAGGCUUUUAAAAUUGUAUUAGAAUUUAUAAGUAAUUCAUAAAAGUGUGUUCACAUUGAUUAAAAACUGGGUAUUCUAAAUUGUUAUUGAGAAAGCUCAUGCUCAAUUUACAUUAUUUUUAUACAUGUUCAGGGAUACAGUUUCAACUUGCGCUUAUUCUGGAAGUUAAUCAUCUCACUUUAAAAAGAUGGUUUAAAAUUCUCUGAUAUGCAGAUACUAAUUCACAAUGGGGGGCAUUAGGGAAUAUAGAAGUACUUUGGAUUAGAUUAAGGGGAAUAAAGGGAGGGGAGGGGAAAUGGGAAUAGGAAAGAUAGUAGAAUGAAUUUGACAUCACUACUGUAUGUGCAUAUAUGAUUACAUGACCAAUGUAAUUCUACAUCAUGUAUUACUAGAAGAAUGAGAGGUUAUAUUCAUAUAUGUAUGUCAAAAUGCAUUCUACUAUAUGUAAAACUAAUUAGAACAAAUAAAAAUAAUUUUUCACCCUUCCACUGCCUUAGUACAUGCAAACUUCAUUACAUCCACUAAGUAGGGGUGAUCAAGUAUAAAGAAACUUUUUUGAAAGUGAAACAUUCAGCAGAAAGAGACUCAAGGAGCAAACUUGACAAUAUGUAAGUUCUAGGGAAAUCACUACCGGCUAUGUAUUUUGUACAUACUGAAUCACAAAUAUUAUUAAAAUGACAUUUAAGUAAGUGUUUUAAAGAGAAGAUACUUUGUGAAAAUAUUAGUGAAAAUCUUAGUAGAAAAAAAUUAAAAACACAAGCAAUGAAACUGGUUUGGGCAUAGAAAAUAUUAGGGUAAUGAAACAACUUGAGCAACAAGAGCAACACAGUCUUACCAGAAAAAAGGGAAAUUUGAAAUAGAAAUUAAAAUGAUGCUUAUUAUCACUUCUACCUCUACUAUCUAUCUUUUUAUCCAUUCAUUUGAAAAAGACUAAGAAUUAUAACAACUCUUAGUCAUUCAUUCGUUUAAGAGAAUAUCCCUAUCAUUGGGAAACUUACAUUGAAGUAUGAAGGGCAAUGAUACAUGUAAAUUACCCUCAAAUGAUUUUGGGGGGAAAAAUUGCCUAAGAGAGCAAGAGAACAAAACGAAAUAAAAUGUUUUCCGUAAAUUUGAAUAGAAUUAAAAUGUUUACUAUUCUUUAUCUUGAAGUUUUUCUAUAUAUUUGAAGUUAUUUUCAAAUUAAACAUUAUUUAAAAUGUCAAAUAAAAAAAAUAAAGCACCGUCUCAAGGAACAGAGGGCUCGGGGGCAGUGUGGGUGGGCAUGAGUGUGGAAGGUUGCUUGGCCCUGUAAUUGGCACCAUUGUCAUGGCUGUUGCCCCUCAGAGACCAGCAUUCCCAACCUUUGGCAGGGGCUCUGCUCUCAGUGGUCAUGAAGUAAAGGAUCAUUCAGGUCAUGUCAUCUUAUCAUCUGCCACCCUUGAAAGUGUCAGACAGGAUAUUUAAGCAGAAGCCCUCUCCAGAAGGAUGGCUGUCACCAACAUUGCCCAUUUUCAUUCAAAAGUCUACUCUACUACUGUACUGGAUAAAGUAUAUAAUUCCCUGACUCUACAUAUAUUUUAAAGACCAUCGACAGGCUUAGAUGCUAUGGCAUUGGUAAGAGUCUCACCUGGAUAUCAGUCACUUUGUUAGGUAUUAAGGGUAAAGUCACACACAAAAAAGAUACUCUACCUCAUCUUGGGAACCCUUAACAAUUAUUGGAAAAUGUAUACAGACAGGUAAGCACAGUAAGUAUGAAUCAGGGGAGGUCAGGAGAGUGAAUCAGGCAGCCAGAGUUUCAAUCAGGCUCCAUGACCUUGGGCAACUUAUCCUUAACAAGGCUUAUUUUGUCAUACCUGGAAAAAUGAAAUAUUAGUAGUUCAGAUAUUUGGGGAUUUAUUUAGAGCAGUAAAUUAAAAAUUCACAUAAAAUAUCUGUCAGUGUUUAAGUAUAUAGUAAUACCUCAAGGUAAGAUGUUAUUCCUUUAUUACUGGUGGAGGAUGUAGGUAACAUGUGAUAUAUACGAAAGGCACUGGACUUAAAUGACAGAGAUGGUUUCCUGGAGGUGCCAUCGAGAGAAGGCAAAUAUAAUUUUUUGCAGUGAAGGAUCAGGGAAGGAGAUGGAUUUGUGUGGGAUGAGACAGGACCUAAGUUGAGAGUUGGCAUGUUGAAACAGGUUGAAAGUUUUAUAGAAGAAUAGUGUAUUUGGGAACUGAAAGUUGACUGAUAUGGUUGGAGUUUAGAAUUAAAGGAUUCAGCAAUGAGUAGAUGAAGUAAAGAGUUUGAAACGUACUCAAAACUCCACAUUAUUUAUUUUUGUAAAACUAAUUAAGGAAACAAUGGGGUUUAAUUGUAUAUAGUUCAUUAUUCACAUUGGGUAUUUAAUAAUCUCAUAGAAACUCAUUGUUGCUUAGCAUGUUUAUUUCCCUUUAGUUGCACAAAGAUUUUGUAUAAAUAGACUAUAUCAGACAAUUCAUACAAUCUUACAGAGUCAGUUCUAAUGUAAUUCAGUUACAUGUAUGCAUGUUUGUGUUAUAUUAAUUUCAUAUUUACAUAUCCAUGUAACUAGGUCCAGUCCAGGAAAGAAAUUUUAGAAGUAUGAUGACAAUUUUAUGAACAAAAAAGCCAUAAUUCAAAGAGAUUAAAUCAUUUGUCAUUAAAUCAUGUGUUUCAAUUAAUUUUGCUUAAAAUGAUACACAUUCAGCAUUUUAAUACAGUACUUUUUAUUAUCUAGUUCAAAAUGCCAAUUGAAAUAUAUCAAAACUUUACAAUUAUUUUUUUAACCUAAUUAAUUUUGAGUUAGGCAAUAAUAUUAUAGGACAAAUUUCCAAGUACUAAAUGCCAUCAACACUCUUAAAUCUACCUAUAUUUUAACCUAGCAGUUGCCCUUCCUGAGGACAAAUUUAUCUUCUGUAGAGACUAUUUCCUGUGUAAUUUAUCCACUCUGGCAUUAUUACCUUGACUAAAGUUAUUGUACAAUAUGUAUUAUUUCCAGUGGUUUAGCUUUUCAUGGAAAAACAUAUUGUACCAGCUCAUUCCUCAGCACUUUCUUAGUGCUUUCCCCCAUUUAAAACCAAUCAAUAAAACCCCAAUUCAGUAACAUUUAUUACAUCAUUAAAUCACUAUUAAAUUGUUUUGAAAUACACUUCCAACAUUUCUGAGUAUAUAUUAUUAUUUUGACCUCUUAACUGACUUUCUUUUAUUACAUUUAUCUAUACGUUUAUUUAGGCUCCCAAACUUCAAUGUUUCAUUAAUUGUGUUGUAUUGUUUCAAUAUGUGAUUCAGUCUAUUACAUUUGUUUCUUUUGAUUCAGACAUUACCUGAUCAUUCUUGCUUGUCAUUUUUUUACAAACAAAUUUUAGAAUAUUCUAUUGCUCAUUGAAAAAGAGAUUUAGUCUUUUUUUGUAAUUUUUACAUAAAAAAUCAAGCUAAAAUUAGAGAUUUACUUUGGGAGAAUUCAAAUUUCAUAAAAUUAUAGUGUUAACACUUUUAUCCAAAACAUGGUAAGCUUCUUAUUUAUUCAUUUUUUAUUUUCUUGUUUUGUACUUGAUACUACUCUCUGGUUUCUUUCAUACAGCUUUCACAAAUUUGUUUUGAAGUCUACACAUAGAUAUUACAUUGUUUUUAUUGUUAUAAUACGUGAAGGUUUAUUUGUCAGUGAGUUUUUAUUUUUAAUGUUUUAUUAAGGUGCAUUAAGGUUAUACAUAAUAUUGGAAUUCAUUUUGAUAUCAUAUACAUGCAUAGACUAUAAUAUGAUAUCUUCUAAUAAGAUUAUUUGUAAAUAUAAUAGCAGUUGAUUUUUACACAUUGUUUUCUACUCUAUAACACUAUCCUAUUUUCUUUACUAUUGUAAAGACAUUUUGGAGCUAAUCUUAAAAUUCUAUAUACUAAGAAAUUCUUAUUCUGGCUUUAAUUUUUUUUAUUUUUUGAUAUUUUAAUCAAAGAAUAUCAAUGCUUUUUAGAUUUUUGGAAGUUCUUAAGGAACUUUUGUAAAUGUUUUGUAAGUACUUCAGCAGAAAUUGUAUUUACUAUUUGGGUUUUUGUGUUCAAUAUAUUUUAUUAAGUCAAAUUUUAUCUCUCCAAUCUCUCUAGAUUGUAAUGUAGUAAAAAUGAUCCCAAAUCUCAGUGGCUUACACAAUGAACAUUUAUUUCUGGUUCAUACUACAUGCCUUCUGUGGACUAUCUACAACUCUGCUUCUAAUAGCUCUAAGAGUUGAGUUUAGCUAGUUUGUCUUUAUUGACAUGAUGGUACAGUCAUAAUUAAAUCCACCACUAGCAAAUCAUUCUACUUAGGUAUAUUCAAUUUACAGGCAUGGGAUAUACAAAGACACUAAAGAUAAAAAUUUCUUCUAAUAAAAAACAUAGUCUAAUUUGCAGAAAGAUAAGUAAAUCAAUAUACAUGACUAUAAUGGUACACACACAAUGGAACACACACGUGAUGAAAACCUCAUUAAAACUAUACUCAUUAGGAAGGAGAGAUCACAUUAUCUCAUAAUUUUAAACCUUAUUUCAAAGAGAUUAGUACUGAAUAGAAUUAAAAAAGAAAUUCAAGAGUAUCAUAAUAGUAGUAACUAAGUUGUUAUAUAAAUUAAUAGUCCUUGAAAAGGAAUUCAAGGAUUUAAAUAUGGCUAACAUAAAGAGAGAAAUAUGAAUGUAGAGAUCUGGAAAUAUGGGCAGGGAUCAGACAACAGAAGAAUCUUUUUUUUAUCUUGAAAAAUAUGUGGGAUUUUUUGUUGUUGUUGUUGUUUGUUUAAGAUCAUGGAAAUCCUUUGAUUAAUAUUUAAGUAUGGGGAUUUAUGAGAUUUUAACUUUUGAGAUGUUUCUUUGGCUUUGGUGUAAUAAUCAAGUGGGUGUGAUUGCUUAGUGAGAAGUGACUAAAAUGGAAUCCUUUAUGGGCCCCAAUGGUAAUGGGAACACAGAUUUUUGUCUGUGAGCCUCUCAUGUUGUGGGAAACUCAGUUCCCUCCGCUUUCAUGUUCAUGGUAUUUAGUACAGACUUUCAAGGGGUAAGCAGGAGUGGGUAUGACUCAAGUGAAUGAAGUCCAGUUUUUCUUUGACAUCUGCCUCAUACUGAUAACUCUAUUUAUUAAAAUCAGUGCAAGCUUGCAAACUUCUAGUGGUAACCAUUUCCUGCAGUCUCACAAUAUGGACAACUAGAAAACUACUAAAUAUAAAUAGCAUAUGAGAAUGGAAUUAAGUAAAGCCAAAAAGAGAUAUAGAAUGUUCUAGUAACAUGGUAGAGAAUACUAACAAAAUCACUCCUCCUCCAAUUCAGAGACAUGUUGAAUAAAUUAUUUGUAUAAACAAGUAUUUUCAGAUAUAACCAAAAUUAUAAAAGUUUGUUUCAUUUUAUUCCUCAGGUGAGAAAAUUAUUUUAAAAUUUUCUCUAGGAAUUCAAUCAUAUAAAUCAGUUUGUUAAAAUAAAAUGUUAAAAAAUCCCCAAUACAGAAGCCAUGUUUGAUAUGGAGCAGUUGAUUAGUGAAUCAACCAUCACCAUAAAGAAAUGAUUAUUACUCUUAGAAGAGGAGAAUUCUCAUUCAGGAAAAUGGGAAGUCUCUUAACCCAACAGUGUUUCUUUAAAAAAAAUAUGGACGAAGAAAAACCAUGAUAUGAUGCUAUUAUCAUCUAUUAAAUAUCACUGCAAAUUCAGAAAAAAUAGAACACAUAUUUAUGGAAGUAAGCAAAGCAAAUGAAUAUACAAAGGGUAGAGAAGAAAUAGAUUGGUAUUUUUAGAUUCAGCAGAGACACAUCAAUUUAAGACAAGAGAAAAUGAAAAAAAAAAUAGUAGACAGACUGGAUGUACACUGAAACUUUUAGCUCCAAGAUAUCUAUGAUAAUUUGGCUAAUAUUUAUCUAUUAACUAACUUGCCAAAAUUUAUCCAUGGACUUUUCAUUUUAUAUGGUUGACUUAGACUUUCCUCUUUCACAUGAAUCUGUUUGGCUAUAUGUUAAUGAUUAAAACUAUCUAAAUUGAGGCAAAGCUUAUUGAGGAUAUACUUAUUAUAACGCUCUCUUAAAAAUGGGUCAUACAUGAUGUGUGAGGUUUAGGAGCAUGAAUUUAAGAUUAAAAAAUUGUAUUCAAAUUCUAAAACCAUUAUUUCACAGCUUAAGUGCAACUGUAAAAUGUGCCAUCUGCUCAGUCUGCAAUAUAUGUUUAAAUGCAUCACAUACGAUAUCUGAAAAUGUAAUAUAUGGUACAAUUCCAUGCAUUUGGGGUUGAAGAGGAAGGGCAAUUACAGGAACAAUGAUGCAACAUGAGAAUUUAGAUGCAUUUUUUUAAGAAGUAUAAUAUAAGCCAGAUUAAUUUUAUGAGGACACUGAAAAAAUAGUAUGUGAUCAUAGUUUAGACUGUCUCUAUCCCAAGAGCUACAGUUAAAUUUGCUCUUGGCAUUUAAAAAUAUACAUACUAUCCCUGGGAUAAAAAGUUGACAGUGUGCAAGUUUGAGCUAGACAGUUCAUAUUUUCAAGUUUUAAUCAACAUAUAGUAGAUUUAGUUGCACUUGAAAAUCUAGUUUCAAUUUUUGAACUUAUAUUGUCUAUUUUAUAUUUUUAUUUUUUUCAGAUAAACAGUACACUAGGAAAUUAAAAUUUCUAUCAGAUUUUUCCUUUUAUUGGUUCUUUUUAGUUAUACAUGACUGUAUAAUCCAUUUUUUAUAAUUUCAGCUUUUUGUUAACAAAAAUAUAAAUAAAACAGAAACUUCCAGUAAAUGCAAUGAACCACUUUCAUGCAUUCAGCAAAUGUUAAUUGAGCAUCAUCUCACAUGUGCCAGAGAAACAGGAAACAAAGCACAGUUGUAUAAAACUUUCAUGUCAUGAAAUUUACUUUAUACCAUAAUUGGUGGAAAGAACUCUUAACAAAUACAUGAUACACCAUGUAGUUGAUGUGUACUGUGAACUAAAUUAAAGUAAGUAAGGGGAUAGAAGGUGGUGAGGUAGGAAGUAGUAUUGUAGAUAGUAUUAAUUAGAAAGACUCUUCUGAUAAGGUGAUAAUUUGGCAGAUAUGUGAAUAAAGUGAGAUUGACAAAAUAAGAAAGAGUCCUAGACAGAGAGAACAUUCCACAAAUAUUUAUUGAUCUCAAUCCCAUUAGCUGCAUUAUUCUGGAAACAAUGUUUGUGAUCCAGUUUUGGAGACAAAAUUGGCACAUAUAAAGUAUGUGUUAUCACAAAUGACUGAGUAUAAUAGGUGAGAAAAUUUUACAUACUGAAGACUGUAGCAUUUCUUCAGGAUAAAGAACAAUCUUCCACCUUAGUUGUCUCAGAAAAAGUUUCAGACCUUUGAGAAAUCACUCUCUGAAGGCAUGACCUAUGUCUGCCAUUCAAGCUCAGCACAAGCAACUGUCACUUAGUAGGUACUCAAAGGAACUUUGAUGAAUGAGUAAAAUAAAUGGAACCAUCUCAUUAAAGGUAUAGCACAAGAGAGAUGAAGAAAUAAUAAACUAUACUUGAAAAUGGAAUCCCCAAAAUGAUGAAGUAUAAAAAAUGUAGAAAUUAUGUUACAUAUGUGGGAAGCACAGAGAUAAAUUAAAGAGAAAUGCUUUUUGGCAUUCAAUAUAUCCAUAUCUGAUCAUUAAAUAUUAAUACUAAAUUCAAAAUUAUUAUGAAGGUCAGAAUGAAUCUAUAUAUUUUGAAUUUAAUGUUAAAGGCAUAAAAUAUAGUAACACUUGGAAGAGAAUAUCAUAAGUUAAAUAGUCAAUUUUUUUUCUUAUUUUGAAAAAAAGAUAUCACACAGCCUUAAAUGCUUAUUCUAUUUCAUUAAUUAGAUAUACUUUCUGAGUAUCCAUUUGAAUUUUAAUUAAAAUUAAAAGUAUGGAAAAAAAUGAAGACUCAAAUUAAACUUUUUGUACUUUCUUGAACUAUUUCUCAGUACUUGUAACAAAACAAAACAAAAAAAUUUUAAGUGAUAGAUUCUAACUUACAAGACAAAUAUAAAUUGUCUUUCUCAUGUAUGAAAUCCAAAUUUCAUUUAAUUUAUGUUAUCUUUAUAUUUUAGCUUAUAUUAUAUACAUUAACCAUUACACAAUUUAUUUUCUUAACCAAACAUCAUUAUGUACCUCAAUAAAAAUUGCUAAAUGCAAAUGAUAGUACUUUUCUUGACUAUAUGAAAUCAAUUUUAUUUAAAACAAAAUCUUUUAACAUAAUUCAAAUAUCUUUUAUGGUACCAAGUAUAGUGUUUGAAAUUAGAUGUUCUUAAUAUGUUUGCAAUAUAACAUAAAGGUUAUAAUAUGCACAUGUGGUCAGAGUCUGAAAAUUUUAAAAGCUGUCUCUCAGGAUAUAUUAGAUAAGCCCGUUAUGAUUAUAAUAUUUGAAUUAUGCUUUUUAAACACUAGACCAUAAUAGUAUUAAAAUGAAACAUAAACUAUACAGAUGGUUCUUUACUUAGAGUUGGGAAAGCCUCACUGUCCAAACAUGAGAUAAUAGUUUGGUGGAUUUGAUUUGAAAAACAAAGAGGGCCAGUCCAUAUUUAUGAAAUUCUCUGCCCACUGUUGUAUAAUUAAAUAGUUGAGUAUUCUAGCUGAUUUCAGUUGUGACCUGCAAACAUAGGUGCAACUGGGAACUGGAGUAUAUUUAGUACUUUGGGAAAUUUUCAAGUAAAUUUCUUGUCCAUGUUUUAACUGACAACAGAAGAUAAAGAUUGUCAUAAGAAUGUCACUAUAAAUUAGAACUAUCUAUUGUUCUAAGUGCAGACUAGACAAGCUAGUACUGGAGUUUAAAGACACUUAAUCUCUGCAGGAGAGCAUAUUCUUUCUCUUCAUGUUGUAAAUUGUUUUACAUUUUCAUAUACAAAUUCUGGUAUCCAAGACCAGUAAAAUGAACAAUGUUAGGACUGUACUAUUUUAUCCAGGACAAUCAUUAGAAUUUAAGAACUUGGAAUUAAUAGAUGGAUGUAACAUCAUCUACUUUCUCAAAAAAUUAUACUUUUUCAUGUAAAAUAUUUAUGUAUAGGCAAUUUUGACCAGAAAGUGUUAUAAUCAAAAAUAUUAUUUAUAUUUUUAAGUACAAUGUUUUAGGAUAGUAGUCAAGUGGUACAUAUCAUUCUUUUCAUAAUCAAUUUAAUACUUUCAAUGAAAAGCAAUCUAGCAAGCUAAUUCCUUAAAUUAAAAAAAAGCAAAACAAAAAGCCUAAAUGGUGUAGAGCAAUCACUGCUUUGAAACUCAAAACUUUUACUUGGGUUUGGCUUAACAUAAUACAUAAAAACUCAAAACUAUUUUUUUUCCUGGGGAAUUCAGAAAAAUCAUAACUAUUUCAAAAACUUAUAGUAAAGAAAUGACAGUAAAUACACCCAAACACCAAAUAACUACAGAGCUGAAAUUCUGAAUUAGAAAACUUUUCUUUAAAAAAAAUCAGUACAUUCUUAUGAAGAUUAUGCCUGAAAUACAAGUAUUGACAAGGGAAAAUUGUUUUCUAAACCUAAGAAGAUAGCAACCAUUAAUUUAACUCACCCUCCUAUACAUUAUUGCCCAAAUAAAGAAGUAAUUAGCUUCAGUAAUAUGAAAUAAAAAUGUAGAAAUUCUCUUAACAGUGCUUAAACAGACUUUAAAAAUAUAUCUGAAGAUUUCAUAUUUUAUUAGAAAAAAAUGACAUUGACAAAAAUAAUAGCAAGAAUCUGAAUAUAAUUGGAAUAAGGUAUUAUUUUUUGAGUGUAUUGAAUAUCAUGUUGCUUUUGUUGAGUAUAAGAAAGAAUGAUUGAGAAAUAAUCUAUAAAUGCUUGUGAUUAGAGAAAAGAUGUCAGAAUGUCACAGGCACUGAAAUGGUAAUGAGGGUGGAAAAAAAUGAAUUAAAUCUCACUUUUACUGCUUUACUUAAAGAUUGAUUUCUGAAAGUUUUUAUUUGACAUAGAUCUGCCUUAUACAGUUUUGAAAGCAUCUGACAUUUUCUCUAACUUGAAGUACAACAUUUAAAAAAUAUUUUUCCCCAAUGAAAUCACAUAUAUAAUUAUUUUAUAUAAAAUAAUAGCUUCAUGGAUAAACUUAACACAUUCAAUAUGCAAAAAUAAAUUAUGUAAUGAAGAAAACAAAAUUAACGUUUAAAAUGUGUUAUUAAAAUGUUUAAGAAUGCUAACUAUUUUAUUCUUUUAAUUAAAAAGGAGUGCUCUAAAUUUUAUCAUUGAGACCCAAGGAACCUAAUGUUUAUGUACAUUAUGUCAAACGCUAAAGGUUAGUUGAAAUAUUAUAUUGUGAAUAGCAAGGAGUAAUUUACACUAAGAAACAUCUUUGGUAAUAACACAUCUAAUUUACUACAUAAUUUAAUACAUCUAAAUCUAGUAGUAAUUUCUGAAAUCAAUUUAACAAAACAAAUGAAAAAUUCUUUGUGACUUUACCAAAUGCAUUUUAUAGAGCUGUUCAGUUUUAUUGAAACAGCCAAAUUAUUAAAGAUUUGAAUUAGCCAAUUUAUUUCUUUGUUUAGAAUCUGAAUGCAUGAUUUUUUUUCUUACUAAUUGUUUUUGAUGAAUUUCCAAAGCCUUGGGGGAAAAAAAGCUUUUACUUUCAAUCUUUAUUUUGAAUAAAAUUAUUUUCAUGUCAAUUAAUCUCUUGGUACAGUCAUCACAGCAGGAAAAAGUUCUGAUUUGCGUUUACAGAAGACAAAACAGAGAAGCCAAAUACUAGCUUUGGGGUGCAUGCAUGAAUUAUUUCAUUCAUUCAUUUUCCAAUCAAUCAAAACAUUAAUAGUACAUAUCAGAUCCUGUCCUGUCUUUCAGGAGUACAGAAAUAAAUUGGGAAAAGUUUUGGUCUGAAAAGAAGGAAAAAAAAAAGAUCUUCUCAAGAGUAGGAAAUUCAUGUUUAAAAACAAGUUACAAUACUAUUGUAUAGUUGUAAAUAAGCUAUGUUAAUGUGAAUAUAAUCUAGAUACAGGAAUAAGGUGUUUUUCCCUUGCCCCCUCAAAAAAAAAAACCUCAGCUUUAUCUGUGGAAUAAGUCUACCUAAAUGAAAAUAUCCAUUUAAGAAAAAUUACCAUAGAUGCCACACAUUAGUACUAACAAAGAAUGACUACAUUUUAUUGAGUACUCAUUGAGUGCCAAAUUUUCCACUGGGAACUUUAAAUGUAUCCUUAUAGUUCUAUGAGUAAGGUACUCCUAUUAAACUCUUUUUCCUACCACAUUAAGGGUAAUAAAGAGAGAUUUGGUACUGUGAUCUUUGUAACACAGUAAAAGGUAGAACUCAGAUUUGAAAGCUCAAGCAAUCUGGGUGCAGAGCCCCUGUGUUUAACUAAUACACAAUACAGAGAAACUUUACCCAUUCGGUAUAGAAAUAGAAAAAAAGGAAAAUAAAUGGGAAUUUUCUUUUGACAUGGCAUAGUUAGAAGAACCAGAUAACUUUAUAUAAAGUGAUUAAUUUAUAAGUUACUAUUCAGAGUUGUUAAAGAUAUCUACCACAUAAUCUCCCAAAGCUAAACUUUUAUUCAAUCAGCAUGUAUUUAUUGAACACUUGAAAUAUUCCAGGCAUUGUUCUGGGCUUCUGGGAAUCACGGAACAAAAACAGGUAGGCUUUCUUGCCUUUUUCAAGUUUAUAUUAUAGGAAGCUCCUAUUCUAGUUAGUUUGUAUUAAAAACAACAACAACAACAAAAAAAAACAUGACUGACAAUGUUCAAAAUGAUUUAUUUGAUACAAUAUUUCUACUAUAUAAAUAUUCUAAAAUUAUUAAAGAGGCCUGGAGCAGAAAAGAGACAUCACAGGCUAGUGUAGAAUUUUUCUUAGCAACCAUCACUUAGAGUUAGUAAUAGUUUCCCAUAUCUUUGGGAUAACUAUUAAAUUUGAUGUAUCCAUUUGCCACAUUGGUAAUUUUACAAAUAUGAAGCAUUAUAAAAUUUUGAAGACACAAAUCUCUGAGUUUUAUCCCCCAAAUUGCUGCCCAGCAACUCUUUAAAGCCAUCUAUUAUUUAUCAUCAACUAAUCAAUCAAGGGUGUUAGUUGCCCAUCUGUACACAUGUAUAUCUUGUCCCCUUAUUUUCAUUUACCUGUUGUGUCUUGUUGCUCUCAGACAUUGAGAACUGUCUAUUCUGAUAAUAAAACCAUCAUAACAAUGAAUGACAACACAUAAGUGCUCGUAAAGCUGGGUAGAUGAUCAAAUUUCAAUAAUUGAACAUUGAUAUAGUUUGUGUAUUGGCGUUUAAUAUUAAAGUCGAGUUCUCAGAAAUCUUUUGUAGUUGUUGUUUUAUUGCUCUUUAAAAACCAGAAGAACUGAUGUGAGUCUGUUUGACCCUGGGCUUCCUUUUAGGCAACAAUGACUGUAAACCCUAGGUUGGUCACCAACAAUAAUCCUUAAUUCAUGCUAUUCUACAGAGCCAUAAGGUGCCACUUAUUUCUGAGUUCCAGAAUAAUUGGAUAUCUGGUAUUAUGAUAAAACCAGAAGAGCUGUAUGUGUUUUUCUGAGUUGACUGAACAAUCCCUUGUGGAAGAGAAUAUGUCACCUCUAAUUUCCUAUUCCUAAAAAUAAUUUUCAUAACCUUUAUUUUAUUUUACCAUUCAUUCUGACAUAAGAUUUGUUGUUGUUGUUGUUUCUACAAUAAUUUGGAGUGAGUUUAUGAGAGGCUAGAGUGACAGAAUAUUCUAUGAGUUCACACACACACACACACACAAAACAUUCAUUGCAUAUAAUUUAAUUGAGGAAAAUAUCCAACCUGACAUUAAGUAAACUUUACUGAUUUUUCCAAACAUACCCAUAAAUCCUGGAGGUGAAUUACCAUAAUAUUAUGUAUAUGUCACAAAUUUCUUCUAACAUACAGGAAAAGAGAUAAAGUGUCACCCUUGUGUUAAUUUAUCUAUAGAAUAUACAACAUGUCAAAUUGAGUCCUGGGAAAAAGUAACUUUACAAAUUAAUAAAAGACUAUAUAUAUAAGACACACAAGCACAUAUAACAAUACGUGUCUAUACAUAUACAUAUAUAUGUGUGUGUGUAUAUAUGUAUGUAUGUAUGUGUGUGUGUAUAUAUAUAUAUAUAUAUAUAUAUAUAUAUAUAUAUAUAUAUAUGUAUAUGUAUAUAAAGUGUGUCCCUGGUACAGGAGAAGUCUCUGUCAGGGAAGUAUGUGCCAAAUAAACCAAUUUAAAUUCAGCCAGUCAGCAAACAGGAAAAUCUGUCAAUUUGCAAGUGUAUAUUUUGCUUUCCUUGGACAAACAAUGCUCUUCGUCUGUUAUAAAUGACAUUACUUAACUUGACAUAACAAGGAGCUUUAUACAAGGCUCUUAGCAGAAGAAGCAUUUCUUUGAUUAGCUUGAAGAAUAGAAACAAGGUAAAAUGGAUAAAAAUAAGCAAAAAUCCCCACUUAGAAUAAUACACAGGAAAUAUUGUGAGGGAUGAAGAGAGAAAGAAAUCAUGUGUCUGUCUUAAUCUAGUCUGACCUACAAAAAAACCGAAUGUGGCUAUUUUGGGGGAAAUCUUACCCUUGAAGACAAAAACGUAGGAGAUGUAUUAAUUGGCUAUCAAAUAAUUUUAUAAAAUUUAUCUCUAAAGUUAUCACAGAUACAUUAAACAAGAAAGGUUUUAUAGAUUCAUCUUGAAAAAUAAAUUGAAUCUUUAAAAAGUAUGAAUUAACUUUUAUUAUUUACUAUAUACCAGACAAUAUAAUUAAUAUUUUAAUGUAAAAUUCUCACAAAAAUCCUAUGUGUACUAUUCUUAAACUCAUUAUUAAGGUAAGAAAUUUAAUACAUAUAAAAGUUUUCGAUUGCCAUUAUCAUAGAGAUAGCAAUUCACACAGCCUGGUAGUCUGUAAACAUCUCACUUUUAAUCAGAAUAUGAACUCAAAUCUUCGAGACACAGCUGUUCUUUAUCAUUAUUAUUACAAAACUGAUGUUCAAGGUUUUUAUCAUACUUUUCUUUAAAACUUUUUUUUAGCUUGAUAUAAGCCUCUCCUUAAAAUUUUCUUCUCAUAUUUCAAUAAACACUUCUUGUUACAAAAAAAUUGAGGGACAGCUCUUUACAUUUUGGGAGACUUACCAUGUGGGAUGAUCCUGAUGAGGCUGCCCAUCAGUGGACAUUAUUUACUGAUAAUCUAAAAUGGAAUUCCCAUAGAAUCCCAUGUUAUGUUCACAUUAAAAUCAAAUGAGCUCAUUCUGAUAAAUGGAGCAACACUGAAAUACCAAAGAAAUUAAUGGCAAUUAUCUACUCAUUGUAAAGGACGGCUCAUAAUUAUUGCUAUUAUACACACAAAAAAGUACAUUUAAACAAUUAUCAUCAUGCAUGCAUGCAUUUGGUACCAUUAGAAUGCUGAUCAAGAUGGGUUCAUUUGGCAAUCACAACCAGAACACAACUCCACCAAUUAUCUGUGGUUCAGAUUUGAGAAAAGAACAAUUGAGUAUGUUCUUGCAAUUUUGUUAAAAUAUUCAUAAAACAAUUUUAUUUCAUGAAAAAUCAUUUUAAAGUCUGAUGACAAAUUGUAUACGGUUGUCUUUUAUUAGGGUAGGGCAGUUUUACAGUUACAAGCCUUAAAAACUAAAUAUAAACUCUAAAAUAUUCAAAUGUUGUAUCAUUGAUUGUGAUGAACAUUCAUUUAAAAUUCUGUGUAAUUUUGGGUAGAAGUAUCUAAUGGUGUGAAAAAAUAUGACAAAAAUGAAUGUGUGGAACAUAUAUAUUGACAAGUACAUUCUUUGUUUUUAAAUUUUUUUUUUAGAGAGAAUUUUUUUUAAUGUUUAUUUUUUAGUUUUCGGCGGACACAACAUCUUUGUUUGUUUGUGGUGCUGAGGAUCGAACCCGGGCCGCACGCAUGGCAGGCGAGCGCGCUACUGCUUGAGCCACAUCCCCAGCCCGACAAGUACAUUCUAAACAAAUAUUUUAAGGAAAUAGAUUUAUAUAUUUGGUAACUUUUCUUUUAAAAAUCUUGAUGAAGAUGAUGAGUUAAAUUCAGUACUCUCCUCUUAUCUGCUCUUUACCCUCCACAGUUUCAGUUGCUUUCAGUUAUUAGUUACCUGGGGUCCAAAAUAUUAAAUGGAAAAUUCUAGAAUGCAUAAUUCAUAUUUUAAGUUGCACAUCAUUCUGAGUAGUGUAGUCAAAUCAGACAUCAUUCCACUGUGCUCCACACAGGAUGAAAAUCAUUCCUUUGUCCAAGUAUCUAUUCUGUACUCCCUACCUUUAAGUCACUUCUAGCCAUCUUUAUUAUCAGAUUAUCCAUCAUGAUGUCAUAGUGCUAUUGUUCAAGUAACCAUUAUGUAGUAGCUACUGUUAGGUUACAUUGCCUACUUCCCCUUAUUUCAUCACACAGGCAUGGUAUCAUCUCACAUCAUCAAAAAUUAAAGGGUGUUUACAGUACUCUAAGAUAGUUUGAGAUAAAGACCACAUUCACAAAACUUGUUACAGUGUAGUGUUACAACUAUUCUAUUUUAUUAUUAGUUGUUGUUUUUAUUCUCUUACUCUGCCUAAAUUAUAAAUUAAACUUUAUCAUAGUUAUAUAGGCAUAGGAAAAUCCAUAGUAUAUAAAACAUGGGCUUCAGUAUUAACUGCAGUUUUAGGCACCCACUGGGGACUGUGGAAUGUAAGUCUCAUAGAUAAGGAAGGUGAUAGUGUUGCAUUAGUCAGCUUUUCAUCGCUGUGCCCAAAAUAUCUGACAAGAACAAUCUAGAGGAAGAAAAGCUUAUUUUGGCCUCACGAUUUCAGAAUUAGCUGACUUCACUGCUCUGGUCCCAAGGCAAGGCACAACAUCAGGGCGGAAGGCAGUGGCAGAUGAAAACUACUCAGCUCAUCGUGGCCAGAAAUCAGGGACAACAUAUAAUCACCAAGAGAACACCCUCGGUGACCCACUUCCUCUAACCAUGCCCCACCUGCCUAAUUACCACCCAAUAAUCCAUUCAAAUGAUUAAUACAUCAAAUGAAUGAAUCCACUAAUUAUGUUAUAGCUCUCAUAAGCGAAUGAUUCCCAUCUCUGAACAUUCCUUCUUUGUCUAACACAUGAACUUUUUGUGGGAUUACUAAUAUUCAAACCUUAACAUCGUAGAGCUAUCAUCUCUUCUCAGUUAAGUAAAUGUAGUUGGAAACACAUCACGUGAAAUUUACCCCAAAGGUAAAUUAAAAGCCAUAUUAGCACACUUUUGUACAGCAGAUCUCUAGAACUAAUGUAGGCAAAUUUUAGUUCUGAAAAGUUUAUAUAUUCUUUGUUGCAUAAUUUAUUGACUUUUCUAGUGGAAUGUUUGUUAGAGAUAUUAUUGAGGAUGAAGUUUUUAAUCAAUACACCCACUUACAAAUCAUGAACAGCAAGAAGUGAAGCCUGGGCAUCAUUUAAAAGAUAAAGUCCUAAGGUUUACAGGGUUUAACAUGCACCACAAAGUUCAUUUUAAUGAGUCUCCAUCACAAGCGAAAAUCCGGCAGUUCCAUUUUGCUUUCCUCAAAUCAUUAUUGACAAAAGAAACUACUCUGUGGCACCAAACAGACCUGUAUUUGCUGAGUAACCUGACUCUUCUAGCACAGUGUUAUUUCUGAAUGUGACACAAUCUUCACUACAGCAAUUUGAAAACUUCUGAUGUCUUUUAAGCCAGGAAUAUUCCUAUGAGGAUUCUGUGCUCACUGAAAAGCUCUAUUUGUUCUCAUUUUAAAUGAUGAAUCUGUUGGCUCUUCAGCAGAAAGAAGAAGGUUAAUAGUUGUAUCACUCAUUGCCCUGAAAACUUUGGGACUAAGAAAAAAAAGUUAAAUAAAAUGUCCCACAGGAAAAUUAAAUGUUAUUUAUUUAUGUAUUUUAACAACACUGAAGAAUGCAUUUAGAGUUAAGCAGGUUGAUUUGUUUUUAUACUAGUCAGGGAUAGGUGGGGGAAGUAUAGAGACUUUUAAAAAAUUAAGAAAAUUUCUGCGACCAUUAAUGUAAAAACCCCACUAUGUUUUAAAGUUUCUAUUUGCAGGAAUCAAAGAUAAUUUGUGCUACAUAUUACUUGUUUUAUAUUAUUCCAUUCUACAAAUAACUUGUAGUUCUGUAGAAUCCUGGUGGGCAGGUGGGUUCUGGAGAAGGCCAUCCACAUCUGAAAGGCACUCCUACCUCUUUCUGAGGGUCUCCUGGCAAAGUAAUUAAUAUUUCUGAGACUCAGUUUUCUCACCUAUAAAAUGAGAAAAGAGGGGCUGGGGAUGUGGCUCAAGCGGUAGCGCGCUCGCCUGCCAUGCGUGCAACCCGGGUUCAAUCCUCAGCACCACAUACAAACAAAGAUGUUGUGUCCGCCGAAAACUAAAAAAUAAACAUUAAAAAUUCUCUCUCUCUCUCUCUCUCCCUCCCUUUCUCACUCUAUCUUAAAAAAAAAAAAAAGAUACAAUAGUUUUUCUUACUCAGAGAUUUCUAUUUACAUGCUGUGUGAGUAUAGCUACUCUGUCAUGGAAAACAGGGAGGCAUGAUAGAGCUGCAGGGCACAGCUCUAUUUGUGAGAGCUGUAGGGAUAUUUUGAGGAAUUGGGGCUUCAUUCUGACUGGGAAGGAAACCCCCUACAGGGGUUUGAACCUGAUCAUAGUUGCUUCUUGCAUGAUAUGUGAGUUCAUUUGGUUCUUUUCCCAUCCCAUACUGCAACUUCAGAUCUGCUUUCUAAUUGAUCUCCUAUAAGCAUGACACAGUUGAUUUGGGUUAUCUGCUACCCCAGUGUUCUGCCAAGCACAUAAUAAACUGUUUAGUAAAAUCACACUUUCAUGCAAGAUAAUCUGCCUAUUUGUUCACAAAGUGGAUGCUUCUUUUAUGUCACCACAUUUGUGCUCUUCAUUUGUUAUUUAUUUUGCAUUUGAUAUUCAUGUGGAGUCAUACCAAAUUUUAAAUAAUCCAACAAAUCCUACUUGUAUGUAUAUUUUUCAUGAGUAAGCUUAUUUUUACAAGAAGCUACUAAUUAUUCUGGCUGACGUUCAGGAUUUGGAAGUCUACUUGAAAGACAAAGACAAAUUUUCAUUGAGAAACUAUGUUCGAUUCAUGUUAAGGGUCAUGUUUGAAUGUAUGUUGAAGGAAAGAAAAAAAAAUCAGAACAUUUUCUAUUAUCUAUAGGAUCUUACUUUAAAUGUACUUAUUUUGACACAAAAUUUUAUAUGAUGGAAAGGAUCAUUUGUCAAAAUGUUUUCCCUUGCAUGUUAUUAUUCCUGUUAUAUUCCAAAUGAUUGUGCCAAUCAUUUUGCUGAACAAUUUGUGGUUUUGUUUCCUAUGAAAAGAUAUUCUAUUACGAAUGUGUUAUAUCAUUUAUUUAUGCUUUGAAUCUUAUAAAACAAUAUAUUAUAAUAUUCUCCACUCUUCACUUUCAUUAUUGAUCAAAAUGAGAAAAAUAUGAAUUUGAUUUCAAAUCAAUGAUUACAACAUGUCCUUUCUAGACACAUGGCAGGUUGAGCAUUAUCAAAACUAUCUUUUGUUUAUUGUAUAUAUUUUCAUGUUGCCUUGUUCAGUGUGGAUUUAAUAGAUAUAGAAUAGUGAUUUUUAAAUCUUUAAAUAAAAUUUAAAAGUAAUUUAAAUGUAAAUGAUAAAAAUUAUAAAGAACAGAUAAAGAAAUUGCAGAUUAAUUAGGGUAAAGGAGAAAUUUUUAUUGUGUAUAAUCAUUUAGUUGGAGGUAAUAAGAGCAAUAACUUCACUGGACUGCUAUAAGGAAUUUAAAUUUAAUUCCUCAUAUAAAAUGCAUUGCAUGUUGCUAAUAAAAUGAAACAUAAUAUCAUUUGUGAUAAGAUGACAAAAAUAAAAUCAUAACAUGAUAAUGAGAAUUUUUAUAAAUCAAAUAGAAAUUUCUCUUUAAGUCAUUGAUUUUUGUUAGUUUUUUUUUUUUAAACAACUUUCCUAUGAAUUUAAAACUCCUUUAUCUUUGUCCUCAGGGUGACUCUAAUAAUUUUGUAGAGAGCUGCCAAAAUUUAGUUAUUGUUCUGUUAAUCAUUGCUAAUAAGAACAGAGAAUUUUCUGGAUGUCCCAGGAAAAUUAUACUAAUUAGAAAUGUCUGCAUUUGUGCAUCUCCUUAGAGAUUAAUUUAUUCAUCAUAAUCAGUUAAUCACUUUUCUUUACAUAAUUAGAUAGCUUGUGAUGGAGAGGAAGACCCUUAGUUCUCUAAAAAUGUAUAAGACUAUUUUAGCUGACACUAGGGAAACUGGAAAGACCUUUUUAGUAUGUAUCAUCCACAACAGCAUACUGAUUAGUGCUGGUACCAUUGUUCUCCCAAAUAAGAAUGGAUUUCAAAAAAUAUUCAGGAAAUUGACUCUGGAAAAAUCCCAUGUUUAUACUGAUGGGCAGUACUUUUUAUUUUAUGAAUUAUUCAAUAACUAAAUUAAUAGAGACUCUUUAUAAAUACAAUCAGUUUCUAUUACUUUCCUUAUUCAGCCCAACAAGGUAAAUCCCUCCAAAUUAUAUCUGAAGGAGAACAAUAUCACUACUGAAUUUUUCUCCUUGUUCCUUCACUACUGAAUUUUUCUCCUUGUUCCUUAAAGAAGGAAAGAAAAGGGGAGUCAUAUAUUUAAAGUUGAGUAAAUUUUCACGCUCUGUGUAUCUCUCUCUCUCUCUCUCUCUCUCUCUCUCUAUAUAUAUAUAUAUAUAUAUAUAUAUAUAUAAAGCCAAAAAAUAGAAUAAAAAGGAAUAAUACAACCAAAUCAGCAAUCAUUGUUUUAUUAGAACACACGUUAUUAGUGUUUGGCAAGGACAAUCAGUAUCAUGUAAUCCAAAAUAUCAUUUUGUAAAUUAACCAAAUUAAUGGGAAAAAACCUUCUUUCUGAGUACUUCAUUUAAAAAGACCACUAAAAUAUAGAUUCCAGGGGAAAAAAAUUCAACCCAAAUGUAUGAACUGAAAAGCAAGAAAAAAUAAAUAUUCAAAGAUUUUGAUAAAAAAUGAGGCAUAUCUAGAUAUUUAUCUCUUAAAGAGUUUGAAAAUUUUGGCUAAAAUAGGAUAUGGAAGUGAUAUCUCACUAAAAUAUUGGAAGAUCAUAAGUAAAUUUGGGAGAUCAGGGGGCAUAAAAUUUUUAAAGCAUUAUCUGCUCAUUUCAUAGUCUUGGAGGAGGGCAGAAUUACUGAAAAUAAUUGAAUGUUUGCAAAAUAUUUAAAAUUCCCUUACUCAAAUGAAUAUAUUCAAUCCUUAUAUUUUUCCCACAAAUUUUCAUCAAAUAUUAACAAAUAUUUACUAUUUUAGUCCUUUUCUAUAUUAUUAAAUUAAUUCUUUAAACAUUUUGAUAUUUUAACAUUUAAUAUUCAUUAAUAAUAAUAAUGUAUAAAACACACAAAAGACAUUCUAGGUAUUUCCAUUCAUUAAUAUAAUACAUACACAAUUUAAAAACACCCUUUUUUAAAUCUAAGGGAUACUAUGAUGUUAAAGUAUUUAUUGUUUCACAUAUUUUAACAAAUUUGUAGAGAUAAUAUGUGAAUAUUAUUGUCUCUAUAUUAGCCUAAUGUAUUGUUUCUGUUUUUUAGGGUGACUUUAAAAUUACAAACAUAUUAUUAUUAUUAUAGAAUAUUAAUUAUGUAUCUUGUAUUUAGCAAUUUUAAUUUUAUGAGUCAUAACAUUUAAAUUAUUAUUCUCUUUCCAGGCAAAAGAACAGGUAUAACUUAAGAUUUUUCAUAUUAAUGUUGAUAAAAUUUAACACCGUCUAAAGUUGAAAUGAAAAGGAAAAAAAUCCUUUCUCUCUCUAUCAAAAUGAAUUCCUGACAUUUCUGAUCAUUGUCAUCACAGAGUCUUGAACAAACUAGAACAAUACUACUGUGUGCUAGAAAUGAAUAUGAAAUGUGAGGUGAAAAUGUGUUUGUUAAUAAAUGAUUAGUCUAGUAUUUUAAAUACUCUUUCAUCAUAGCCCUAUUUCAUUAUGGCCCACAGUUUGCUUGCUAAAUGUUUCAUAGUUAUGGUAGCACAAAUAGUUAUUUAAGAAAAUAUAUAGUCCUUAGGUAAAUUCUUUGUCAUAUGCUUUUCUACUAAUAGAUGAUAACAAAUAACAAUGAUUCCUAAAACAGCAUUUACUCUAUGCCAAGUACUCCACUUUAUAUGUAAUUUAUAUACUUUACUUGGUCUUUACAACAACUCUCUGACAUAAUUUCAAUUUUAUAGAUCAGGGAACUGACUCUCAUAGUAUUUAAUUGUGUUGGAUCUGGGACAGAAAAUCAGUCCUUUCUGAUUCCAAGGCCUAUGCGCUGAACCACCAGCUUAUAUUGCAUUCCACAAGUAAUAGAAAACAAAUUAUUUUUAAAAAAUAGAAAAAGUUCAAGAAUAAUUCCUAAAAGUCAAAAGAAGGGUUGGUACUAUAGAAUACCUAGAAAUACAAAUUUAAGACUAAUUUAAAGGACAAAAUCUGAUAAGAAGCCUUGAUACUGUAAAUAAUAACACAGAUCAAAUGUCAUUUCAGAGAUGCUUAGCCAUUGUACUCUAAGAUCAGGCAUGUGUUUCUCAUGCCAGGAGUCAGGAUCAAUAUGACUAAGGACUGCCAAGAAUUUUUUUUUCCCUGAGAUAAACCAACAGUGUUAACCUGAAGCUAAAGACAGGUACUACUAUCAUUGGAUACGACCUAUGAAAGAAGCAUUAGAGUCUUCAGCUAGGAGGAAAGGCUGACUGAAAAUCCUCAUUGUCAUAUGAAGUGAUUUUAUAUAUGACUCCUUCUUCUGAUGGAUUUUUUUUUUACUCAGAAAAAGAAUAGCUCAAAAUUAAUAAGUAAAGACUAAGGAUCUUUCACUGGUGACUCAAGUAAUUUGUGGCAGAUUAGAAUUAGAGGUCAAUCAGAAUAUCACUCAUUAAAAUAUAAUUUUGUUUUAUUGACUGAAAUAGUCCUUCAUUAUUUGUCUCCCAGCAUACAUCACCUUUUCUGGACCCAGAGAGCCUCUAGGUGGGCACUGGGGACGAUGCCACCUUCUUUUCACUUUAGUCUAUGGUCUUGUAAGUUUACUCUCCAGUCAAGUCCCAGAAAAUGAGAGUAUGAUCUGGUCUAUGAUGUCAAAAUAUCACCUUCCAGAUGCCUAAAAGUAAUCUCGGGUUUUGUCAAAAACAGAAAUUCCUAUCACUUUUCCACUAAAUGUGAAGCUAUGUCUAAUCUCUGCAGCUACUGGAAGCCAUGAUGCUACCCUAGAAAGACAGAGGAACUUGCCAAAGAAAGUCAGUUUAAACUUGUCUCCAACUACACUGAAUCUUCAUCUCUCUAAAACUUUUCAAACUAAGUACGUCAAUUAAUUUCCCCCCUUUUGCUUUUAUACCUACUUAAACAUUUUAGGCAAAUUUUAUAAUGUUGUUCCCAAGAAUGGUUAAUAUUUUCAAUUUAUGCUUAACUUUCUUUUCAUAUAUCUUUAGUGAGGAAUCAUUUUCUAAGGAAUUUAUCCUCUUCACUCCCUUCUUUCUCCAUCCCUUUCAUUCCCCCUCUGUGUUUCUUUCACUUAUUCAUUCAUAUAUUCCUUUGAAAAUGUAUCAUAUUUAUUGUUUAGCUUAUAUCAUUGUGGCACUUCUCCAAGCACUCACAAGGCUACAAAGAUGUCUGGGCCAUCAAUUACAGCCAGCUCAUGAUUUGAGAAAGUGAAUACAAUAUCUCACUCUACAAAUAGAAGUAGGUCCAGAAACACACACACACACACACACAAAAUGCAGAUUAAAUAAAGAAAUAAAAAAAUGUAGAUGAAAUAAAUAAAUAAUUAGAGAUAAGGUAACAUUGAUCUGGACCAUAAGAAUCAUGCAUGAUUUGUAAAUGUAUGAAGUUUUGAGGGAAGGCAUUUCAGGCAGACAAAACAUGUGAAGAAAAUCAUGCAGCACAUAGCAGGAAAAAUGGGAUUUUUUUGAGGAAAAACAAAUAUUUCAUUGUGCCUACUCACAUUGGCUAGAAUUUUAUGUCAAGUUCAAGUCAGUAUUGUGGUACAUCCAAAUAAACGGAAAUGGCUUAUUUCCUCCCUUUGGCAGUUGACCAUGAAUAAGGUUUUAAGUGAAAAAAAAAUGCUAUCUACUACUUAAGAGUCAUUUGCCUUGAAGACAAUUUUUCAAUGUGAGCAGAUGAUUAUUCCUUUUAAAAUCGACCAAAUAUUGCAACAAAAUAGAUUAUGGUUGUUUAUUAUACAAAUUUAAAACUUGAUUUUGGGUUUUCACAGUAGUGGUUGCCUUAUUCCUCUAGAAGAUAAAUCCUCUACUAGAAAAUCUUAGUUCAGUUCAUGAGGAAUGACUUGGAACAACCACUGUAUAAUCAUGAUGGCCACUGGGAGUGGUGGGCAGUUUGGAAGUAAUUUAAGAUAAGCAGUUAAUUUGGACAAUGUCCUUGAAAUGUUACUUUUACUGACCAGUUACACAGAACUCUAAUAUGUCCGAUGUCCAGGACACCAUUUCCCUAAGGAAAGUAAUAUGUCCUAUGUAAUUGAGCCAUAUGCAAAUGGCUACGUUCAGGAGCACAGGGAGUCUGUGCUUGGCAGUCUGAGUUGUCUAAAAAUCACAGAAGCAUUGGCUCUCUGAGAGGUGGAACAUUAGCUGUCAUUUGUGGCUUAUGCUUGACUACGUUCAGUAACUCUGCUGUCUAAUAUAAUUACCCUUAGCCACAAAUUUAAAAUUAAAUUUAUAUUAAUUUAGUUCCUUAGUCACACUACUCAUAUUUCAAACACCCAGUACCUAUAUGUUGAUGGUGACUCAUGGUUAGAAGCACAGAUGAAGAAUACUGAAUUUUUAAUUUGAUAGUAUUGUUCCAUAACACCCCAACAACGUGCUUUGAAAAGUAUUCCUGUACAUGAAAUGCACCAUUCAUUUUGAGGGUAAUGCCUCCAAUUUGGAAAGAAAGUCUCUCUUCUUGGUGCUUAUUAUUCUGCAUUCCUAAUAAGGUUCCCUAUGUAUUAAUCCUGUCUUUCAAUGCUCAGCUCUUCAUAAGACCAAGUUUAUAGUCUUUUCUACAAUGUGCUUAGAUCUUCAACACAAUAUGUAUUCACCAAGUUCAGCUUCUUUAGACACCAAAUGCAAAAGAACAUGCAUUCAUGGCAAUUUCAGAAUGAAAAAUAUAAUAGAAACUUAGGCAUAAUUAUCCUUAUUUCAACACCAUAAAUUGCACAUUGGUACCAAAAAUGUUUUUGAACAUGAACCCUUUUUAAAAAUGAUAGGUCAUAACUAUAAAAAUAAUAGGCUAUAUAAGAUCAAAAUAUGAUUAUGGCUGUUUAUUAAACAAAUUUAAAACUUGGGUGAGCCAGCACAAAUGUUAUUAGUAUAGUGACCCCUGUAUCAUGGAUACUCAACAGAUGUUGCAUGAACUGAAUUAACAAAGUAAUAAAGUGAUAUAAGAGGUUGACUUAUUAUAAUUUUUUCUAUACUUGUCAUGCCUGACAAUCAAGACCUUAGAGCUCAAAUUCAAACUCAUAUUCUAAUUGCAAUUAGAGAUAUUUAGUAAGCUCAAAGCUGGAAGAAGUUUAAAAUGUAUUAAAGGGUAUAUUUUAAGAAAGUGGCUUCACCAAUCAACUUCAAAAAGAGUAAUUUUGCUAGUUAACUAUGUCAACUCUAUAAACUACUAUAUCCCAUGACUCAUGGGCCUACUUGACAUAUUUUGCCUUAAGUUGGGAUGAAUCUUGAACAUCUCUGUUUUGCGCAAGGAGUAAUUUUUUUCCCCUUUGGCUUCUUUUCAGACAUUUCAAGAUUAAAAUAAAUAUUAUAAUGCUUUUCAUAACAAAUAAAUAUGAGUUAGGAAAUAUUGUUUAUCUCAGUUUAAAAGCAAUGAUAAAUUUUAUACUAUGACACUAAAUAAAUUUUGAUUCAUUUAUUUGUAUCUCCAUUCAUUUGUCUAAUUCUUUUCCAGAAAAUAAACAGCUGAAGGCAAAAAAAACUCUUUAUAAUUUACAGCUCUAUUAUCAACAUAAUGUAUGUCAUAUAUAACGUAACUAAUUAACACUUACUUUUGAUAUGCUGAGUGUAGAAAUUUGGAGUAGCUAGAAUGCAUUGGGACUUAGAUCUUAAUCUACUGAUUUUGCCAUAGCCGGCAUAAUCCAACAAUGAUUUCUUUGAUAUGAUGCCAAAAACACAAGUAACUAAAGCAGACAUAGAUAGGAAUACAUCACACUAAAAAGGCUAUAAAGAUCAAAGAAAACAAUAAAAAGAAAAGGCACCUAUGGGAAAGAAGAAAAUAUUUUCAAAAUAUAUCUGAUAAGUUGUUGAUUUCUAAACUAUGUAAUAUACUCCUACAAUUCAUUACCAAAAAAUAAUAACUCAAUAAAAAUGAACAAAAUCUUGUCAAACAUUUUUCAAUAGUAGGUAUAUACCAAAUAGAUUAUGAACUACUUUAGAGUUGGGAGUAAAGCUCAGUGACAGAGCAAUUUGCCUAGCAUUUGUGAGGCCUUGGAUUCAAGAAAAAAACAAAAACAACUGUAUUCAUCAAGAGAAACAAAUCAAAACCACAGUGAAAUAUCAUCUUACACCUGUGAAAACGACUAUCAUCAAAAUAACAGAAAUAAGUAUUGGUAAAGAUGUAAAAGUAUUGGUAAAAAUUGAAAUUCUGCAUAUCAUUGUUUGAGAAUGUAAAACAGUGCAGCAGUUCUGAAAAACAGUAUGGAAUUACUAAAAAAAAAUUAAAAAAAGAAUUAUCUAUGAUUCAGCAAUUCCAGUGCUAGGUACAUACCCAAAGACAGUUGAAAUCAUCAAUGUAAAGAGAUAUCUGCACUCCCACAUUCAUAACAACAGUAUUCACGAUAGCCAAGACAAAAGAUUAAUAUAAUGAAUAUAAUUCUGUGGAAAGAUUAAUAAAUAAAUAUAUGUUGGGGUAAAGAUACACAAUGGAAUAUUAUUUAACCUUUAAAAAGAGGGAAAAGCUACCAUUUGUGACCCAUGUAUAAACCUGAAGGAUACCAUGUGAUGUUAAAUACACCAACCAUUGGGCAGAUACUGCAUUUUCCACUUAUAUAUCUCUAAGAGUCAAACCCAUGGAAGCAGAUAAUUUAAUACUGACUUCUGUGGGGUGGGAAUAGAGGAAGUAGACAGUUAUCGCUCAAUGAGUAAAUAUUUCAGUUGUUAUAUAAAUGAAGUCUAACGAUCUUCUGUACAUAGUGCUUAUAGUUUACAAUAUGAUAUUGUGAACUAUAAAAUUGGUUAAGAAGGUGGAUCUCAUGAUAAAUUUUUCUAUAAUGUGAAGGAAGGAAGGAAAGAGAUAUAGAUGAGGGGAGAGAGGAAGGAAGGAAGGAAGGAAGGAAGGAAGGAAGGAGAAGAAAAGAAAGAGUAAGGGAGAGAGAAAGAGAGGGAAGGGAAAGGAUAAAGGAAGAGUAGGGUGAAGGUAGAAAGAAAAAUACAAGACCGUACACAAAAAUAUUCUAGCAGGUUUUGUGUAUGUCUCUUAACAUAAGUUGUGGUGAUAAUAUCACAGGCCUUCAAAUUUAUCAAAUUCAACCCAUUAAACAUAUGCAGUUCUUUGCAUUUAAAUUAUAGUUCAAUAAAAUCAUUAAAAAGAGUAAAAACAUGGUAUGGCUAUAUGAACAAAGCAAAUACAAAAGACACUUUGCAUUGUUGUUUAUUAAAGAGUGCUCCACACGAAUAAAAGCAUAUUGCAAAUUUUGUGAAUAAAUUCAAAGUACAAAUUGGUAUUACAAAAUAUACACUAUUCAUUAUUAAAAAAAAAAACUUUGAAGUUGAAGCUUUACCUGAAAAAUUUUGUAAGCACUGAGCUCUUCUUAUGUGAAUAUCUGAAUGUUGUCUGGAUAGUUGCAUUACAAGUAUAUGUCCACGUUUAUAUACAGAAAUGCAUGUUAUAAUAAAAUAUAUGCACACUGCAUAUUAGCAUCUAUGUUGAAAAUAAAAAACAUUUUUAUUAUCAAUCUAUCAAGACUUAAUAAUCAAGUUGUUAGCUAAAUUCAUUCUAUGAACAUUUAUUAAUUUUUAAUCAUUUAACAUCUUAAUAAAAGUCAUUUUCUAAGGAUAUCUUUUUAAAACAGGACACUUUAGUAAUUGUUAUUUCAACAUGUUAAUAACCUUGACUUUAGGACAUGAACUGCUUAUGAAGAGAGAAUGGUGGGAAACAGAUGUAUGACUACCUGCUUGACUAAUUGACUUAACUUCCUGUUUGACUUCUACAAACUACUUAUGGUUCACUUAGAAUGAUUUUAAUUGGAUCAAAUUUUUUUUUUGGUGAAUCAAGAACUUUAACCAUAAACAGCUACAAAAAAUUGGAAAUAGUACCAAUACAUGUACAAAUAUUCCUACAUUAUAAUACUUAGUUCUUCUAGUCUUCUUAGGACUAACACUGUGAACAGAGUCUACACUGACCAUGUACAUCAUAGAGUCUAAAACUGAUGACUUUUUCUUGUGACUGACAGGGAGCUAUUAAAGAUGCAGAAAUAGAAUAUUUAAAUUUUUACUUCAAACUAUAAUUCCUAGCAUUGGUUAGAAUGCGUGGAAGAGAGAAAGAAAUGCAGGAUAUUAUUCAAAAUAGGAGCAUAGUUAUGGAUCCAUAAAAAGGGGGUUUUACAAACCAGGAAUAGGCAACACAAGAUAUUUUAUUUAUACUUUGGUGGACUAAAGAUGCCAGUCAUAACUUCAUAUGCUAUAGAAGAAGUAAGAGUUAGAGAGAAGAUUUCAUUACCAGGCAGUUAAUGAGUCCUAUGAAAGCUUUUCUAAGAGAUCUGUGUAAUAUCUGAUAUUAUUUCUCUCCAUUUCAUUAAACUUCCUGAUCCUCAGUCUCUUUGUAAAGCAAUAAGCUUCACCUGAGGUAAGAAAAAUGAUACCAUCAUUUGAAAAGAGAAUUUCAUGAUUCUCACACUAUCAUUAAAACUUCCUUUUCAUGUUAUCUGUCAUGGGUCAGCACUAGGGUAUUGAUCCUCUGUGAAUCAAAAUCUGUUGGGUAAUACACAAAAUAUAAUUCAAUAAUGGAAUUGAACUCAAAUUUAGAGCCAACAAAGUCCUGAACUCUGGACUGGCCUGGUCUUGCUAAGCAUUCCAACAAUGAGGUAGAUGGAUACAGCUUUCUACCACUGAUUUAGCAGUAAUGGAGUAAUGGAUUGUGCAGCCUGUAGGGAAAGGUAUGCCUUGAUAAUGGAUAUUAGACCAGUUGGGAAGGGUCUCAGAAAGAAAUCUGCCACCAUCACCUUUUUCCCUCCACCCCAUCCACAGCCUUGAUGUAAGAGCUUCAGUCCUCUAAGGGAGAUCAGUGCUGAAUAUUACCACAUUCCCUACACAAGCAAGAUAGUGAAAAGAAUUUUCAAACUACUGACGCACACACAUGUGCACGCAUGCCCCGCCCCCCCGAACAAAAUCAACAAUGACAAGAAGCCAAACCAGAAAGACAGUUAGCUUUAUAGGAAUUGCUUUCUCUUUUAUUUAUGUUUAUAUUGCAUUUUUGAAAGAGGAAAAUAAAGAUAAAGGUCAUGAUAGCUGGAUUAGUAUGGAUUGAUUUGGCUCAGUGAACUGAAUCCCCUAAAUGAGAAUUUCUAGAGUAGUUAAAAUAGAAAGAACUUUUUAACAGGGACUUUGAUUGAUGACCAUAACCUAUACAAGCUUUUGCCUUAGUGAUAUGGUGAAGAUGAAAUGCUACAGCUUGUUUGAAAUGAGGAAUGGUGUUUAUAAAGGACAUUUUCUUCAGUUCGUUGGACAAUGUAGAGCUUUAUGAGUCACAGCAAUUUCUGAUUCUUAGUGCCUAGAAUUCAUUUCUGCUUCCUAUUGUAAGAGCUACAGUUCUCCAUUGAGGCAAAUUUCAACUAAAUCUGUUCUUCUUCCUUGGGCAUCAAAUUUAAAAUCAAGUAAAAUUAUUCAAUCAGUUACUUUUUUUAAUCAGAAAGGAAAUAUAAUUAAUGAUUUCUAUGCAAUUUUAUUUUCCCUUUUUAUUCCAUUGAAAUGCAUUAGAUGGCCACUGGUCAUUGUAUUAGUGCUUUAUAUAUUUUCUAAGACCUUUCAAUCUCUCAUAGUUGAGAGAUAAAAAUAAAUAUUGAAAACUAUUAUAAAAAUAAUACAAAGCAAAUAAUAUAAACACUUCAUGAUUUCUCUAAUAAUUUUAGAAACUCAGGGCCACUUCAGUUUAACCAGAAAGGACCAUGAAGGUAAUGGCUAAAAAAAAUAAAUGUCUCUAUGAGGGAAUGUAUGACAGAAGGAUCUUGAUGCUCACCACAGCCUCUUAGAAUGCACGUGAGGAACUAGUCAUAUAAUUCUCUUAUCCCUUGGAAUAUAAAGUUAGUCUAGAAGAGACCAUUUCUCAAUUUAUAAGUGGUAAAAAAUCCAUCUCUAACAAAAUGGGAUAGUGAGGCAAAGGAGAUUUAUUGUUGGAAUAGGUGAUAUAUUUGAAAUCAACACUAAAGAUCAAACUGGCUCACUUAGUAAGGAUAUGAAGGCCAAAAGGUGACACUUGCCAAUCAAGGGCACAUGUACAGACAUUUUUACACUCUAGGCUCUAGUUUCUCAGAUGUCUACCAGAGGACAGAAUAACAAUAAUAUCUAAUUCAAACACUUUUUGACUCUUCAUUGAACUCCAUAUAGGCUUGGAUUUCUACAAUAUUGAAUAAAAAUCAUUCACUUAUAGAUAUAUUACUUAAUCAUAUAUUGACAUUCUAUAAAUUAAGCUAUUUCUUAUUCAUUUUAUUAAGGUAACUGUUAAUAUUAAUUAAUAUUAUUGUAACUGUUGUCAACUCUGCACUUUAGUCAGAUUGUAUCAUGGUGCCAUUUUAAAGAUGAAAUAAAUGUAACUGAGUUAUAGAAGUUGAUUAUCUUAAGGUCAUGAAUUAUUCUGAGAGAGAUUGUAUUUUCAAACCCAAAUUACUGGGACUUUAAUUUCUUCAUUCUAAAUUCUUGGAUGAGUUUCUGAUAUCAAAUAUACUCAAGCAUACAUUCAAUUAAUAUAUGUUUGAGUGAGUAAAUAAGUGAAGGGUGAAUUGGUGGUAAAGUAGGCACCAGAACAAAUAUUCCCUCAUAAUUUUCAAUGAAGUGUUUUUUUUUUACUAAUCAUCAUUGUUUUUUCCCCAAUUUUUCUAUUCUAUUUAUUUAAAAUGUCUCCUGUUUUUAAAAUUAGUUCAUGUAAUACCUCCAAAAAUUGUUAAAUAAGGCAAAAUAUCCUAUUUCUAAAGAAUAAUAAAAAUUAUUUUAAAAAUCCCUACUAUUAUUAUUUAUUUUUUUGGGGGGGUGGUUACUGGGGAUUUAACUCAAUGGCACUCCACCACUGAGCCACAUCCCCAGUCCUAUUUUGUUUUUUAUUUUGAGACAGGUUCUCAAUGAGUUGCUUAGCGACUCGCUUUUUGCUUUGGCUGGCUUUGAAUUUAUGAUCCUCCUGUCUUAGCCUCCUGAGCUAUUGGGAUUAUAGGUGUGCACCACCAUUCCUGGCUCCCUAUUAUUUUUAACUAAUUGAAAAAUACAGCAAAAUCAUGGGCUGCAUGCUUCCUUUUUCUCUAAGCAUAUAAGAAAAGAAAGAAAUGCCAGGAAUCAUGUUCUGGCUUAAUGAGAAAACUUACAAGAUUGUACUGUUUAGAAAAGAGAUAUCAAGCUAUAUGCCUCUAAUCCUGGGAGGCUGAGGCAAGAAGAUUUCAAGUUCAAGGCAAGCCUCAGAAAUUUAGGGCGACCCUAAGCAACUAGUGAGACUCUAUCUCAAAAUAAAAAAUAGAAAGUCACUGUGGAUGUAGCUUAAUGGUAAAGUGCCCCUGGGCUUAAUUCCCAGUAUUGAGACAGAGAGUGAGAGAAAGAGAGAGAGAGAGGGAGAGAGAGAGAGAGAGAGAGAGAGAGAAGAAGGGAAGAGAAGAGGAGGAAAGGAGAGGGGGAGGGAAUGGAGAGGUGAGAGGAGAAGGAGGAGAGGGGAAGGCAAGGGAAGGGAUGAGACAUCAACUUAGAUAUUACCAGGGCAACAAGUUUUAUCAGGCCAUAACCAGUCAGAAUCAAAGAGGGUGUUGAGGAUAAGGCUUGACUUCACAGAACAUAGCAACACUUUAGGAUUCUUAGACUUGUUAAAAUAACUGAAAUAACGGCUGUAUAAUGCAUAAUGGUGUUGGGUUUCUAACAGCUGUAAAAAAAAAAAAAGAAAAAAAUAUUUUCUCCUUUUUAUAACACUGUUUUAUUUCACUGAACUUAGUAGAGUGUGUAGUUUUCAAGACCAAGAGCUACAGCUUCCUUAAUUAGCUCCAAGAGAAGAAAUGGCAAGCCUAAGAAACCUAAAACUCCCAUAGCACAGAGAAAAUGGCAUAGAACUGCAUUAUUAAAAAUCAGAAUGUGGAACAGGCUAUAAUUUGUAUCCACAAAGCAGUCCCAAAUAUUCAAGCUGCACAAUUUUCUAUCCCACUUCUGAACAUCUUGACUAUACCUUAAGCAACUACUUAACAUUUUAUUAUAUACUGUCUCCUAGUUUAGUAUCCAUUCUUUUCACCAUGAGAACUGCUCUGCAGUGACCUCUUGCAGUACAUCAAACAUUACUGUGUAGGCAUGGUCUGUCAAACUAUCUACUUUACUAAAGAAAAAAAUGAAAUUAUAAGAUUAAAUAUAAUAUAGUUUGACCAAUAAUAGAGAUUCAAUUUCAGGAAAGCAAUGGCUGUUAGGAAAUACAUCUAAUCCUUAUGUUUCAUUUGAAAGGAAUUCUCCUAUUGUUCAAUAGAUAAGAUUUAUCACUGUUGUAUGCACUAAAAAAAUAUUGUUUAUCUUAUGCUCUGUUUUAGAGCCUUUUCAAAAUGCUUUGAAAUGCAAAAUUACUCUCAUGAAGGUUAUCCUCUAAAAAACAUUGUUUACACAUGAAUAUAUAUUAAAAAUUAACUAUGCAAUAAAAGAACAGUCACUGAAUAAUAAAAGAUUAAUCAGUAAUGAGAUAUAUCUCACUAUUCUUUCAUUAUUUCACCGAGCUCUAAUAUAUAGUCUUUCCAAAGAAAUAGCAUAGUUAAGUGGAAAGAAAACUAUGUCCAGAUUAACAUAAAUCUGACUUCAAAUGCUAUUUUGAAAUUCUACCUCCUUUGUAACAUUGGAUAAACCCCAUUUUCUCUUAAGAUUCAAUCCUCUCAAACGUAGGAUAACAUGUACUUAUUUUUAUUAUUAAUCAAAGUCUUCCAAUGAGAAUGUCUGAUGAGCAUUGAUACUUUUAUCAGACCUUAAACUUGGUAGAAGAAAAUUCAGCUUUUACUAAAAUGUGUGAAAUCUUAUUAUGGAUAACUCUAUAAUUCUUUCAUGAGUUUUAUGCUAUUUAAGAGUACAAUAAACACUUAUAUAGUUUUGUGCAACACACUUUGGGACAAAAAAAAACUGGAUUAUCUAAAUAUGUGGUAGUACCUAUCAUUCCAGCUACUCAGGAAGCUGAGGCAGGAGAACUACAAGUUCAAGGUCAGCCCAGGUAAUUUAACAAGACCCUGUCUCAAAAAGAAAAAAAAAAGAGUUAAAUAAAAUUAAAAAUAAAAUAAAAUCACAUAUAAAUAAAAUAAAAAUCCACCAAACAGACAAUAUUUUUUUUUUUUUGUAUUUUAAGAUCAGAAAAUAAGUCCAAUCCUUUUCCUCCUCCUCCUUCUCUUUGGUACUAAGAAUCUAGGUUACAGGAUAGUACUUUACCUCAAUUGUGUUCUAACCAUUGAAACAAUUAGAACAAUUAAGACAAAUUGUCUCCAAAUAACUGUUCCCAGAAUUAGGAACAAUUGUUCUAUUUCAAAGAUGUACAAAGUAAACAAAGCCAAAUGAAAGGACUAGCUGAACUACCCAUGUUCAAAUUAUUAUUUCCAAAUUUACCAAUUAGAAAAAGGUCUUCUAACAGUUUUCCUGAAAAAAGUAACUGAUGGGGUCUUAAAGGGGCAGGUUCUCCAAUAAUUGUGAAUCACCCAUUUGAAUAUGUAUCCUGGGAGCAUGAAAUAACUAUUCCUAUCAUAAUCUCCUCACAUGUGAGCAUAUGGGUGAAAUGCAUUUCAGGCUAGUCAGAUUUUGCAUGACAUGAUUGUGUUAUUGCUAAUGCAAAGUUAUUUCUAUUAAAAUUUAUAGAAAUACUCCUGAUUUUUUACAACCUUGGAAUUGAAAGCAUUCAAAAUUAAUUAAAUAACAUAUUAAGGAAUAUAUUCAAGAUUGUUUUGGUUUCUUUAUAUUUACUCCUUAUUUUAACCAAAUAACUUUCGAAAAGUAUAUCAAUGAGCCUAACCCAAGAACUAAAAUAUAUCUGCUUAGAUAUCUGCUAGGCAAAUCAUAGAAUUUCAUUAGAAAUAAUUUAUAUUGACUAAAAUAAUAUAACUCAUAACAAUAUUGGUAUACUUUGCUAACAAAAACAACAACAACAAAAGAUCAGUUAUACAGUUGACAGAAUUGAAAAUUUUUCUAUGUGGCACAUUUUUUAUUUAUUACACCUUAAAUUCAAAUAUAUAAAUGUAUGACACAUAUGAUAAAAUAAAAUUGACUUCCACCCCAAAUAUUGUAAAAUAUAGUAUCAAAUCUAAAAUUGGUCCAAAUGAAUUUUACAUAUAUCUUUUGCCUUUUGUGAUUAUAUUUAAUUCUAUUUUUCACUUUAUCUACAAAAGUGGAAGUGCUAGUGAAUAUAAAAUAUAAUAAUUUAGUGCUGCAUAAUAGUGUUAUUGAACAUAUUUAAAUUUAACAGACAAAGAAAAGGAAAUAAGAUAAGGAAAUGUGUAAAUCUAUAUAAAACUGGACCCAUAGUUGGAAGUGGUAUUGAAUUUAUGUCACAUACUUUCUAAAUGUUACUGUGGUGAAAUAUAUAACAUUAUUUCUACAAGGAUACAAUUAAGGAUAAAAAAGAAAGUUGGGACCAUGGAACUGGUAGAAUGAAAGAAAAUCUUGAAAAAUAGUUUGGACCUAGAUAGAUAACCAGGAAAUUUACAUACAAAUAUAUUACAAAUCAAUCUAUUCCUGUUUGGAAGUCUUUAAUGCCAACAUCAUAUACUCAGAGCUUUCUGGGAUUGAUGAAAUCCAUAGGUUAUACAAAUGCAAGUUUAGAAGGCUUCAGUAAGGAAGAGACAACUGUCUUGACAAGUCUAGUCAGCUCUGUUCAUAUGCUAAGCUUAGAGUUAUAGUGAGAUCGCUCAUACCCAAAAGGCCUAUGGGAUACAUGAAAGGUUGAAUCAGAGCAAGAUUAACAGAAAAUUGGGAAUGUUGGUUUCCAUCUUUACUUCCAAUAUUUCUAGGAGAUUGUCAGAGAUAGAAUAUUACAAUUGUUUUGAUUUAAAGCCAAAAAGCAAAUACCAGCAGGAAAAGGUAUUUUAAAUAAUUCUUAGGCAAAUGUUCUUUCCAGGCAAUGACCCCUGUGGGUGGAAGAGAUGAAACAUUAUGUAUACUCAAAUUAUAUGAAUUAUGCACUGAACAAAAUCUGAGUGAAAAAAAAUAUGCAGUAAUUCAAAAUCUCUGGAGGCCAACAGACUCAAAACAUAUUUUUAAAAAUAUGUAACUCAAAUUCUUCUCUCUUUUAUCUGGAUAAAGUCUUCUUCAAACUUUACUGUUCUUUUUUGCCAAAUUAAAGCUAGAUACAUUUUAUACCCCCAUCUACAGUUACUAUUCAAAGUUUUGUCAAAUGUUUUUUGUCAACAUGAAUUGAUUAGCAAGGACAUAUCAUAUACUCAAUUCACCAUAUAUUCCAUUCACCUCACCUUUGUGAUCCAAAGAAUGCAAAACAUUCCACAUUUUUCUGCCUUCUCUCUUUUUUUCCCCAUAAGACUCAGAGAGCUCUCUUUGUUCUCGAUUUAGUAAUUUAAUUCACUUCUGCCCACCUUGACAUCUUUGUCUGUAUGUAAUAAAUCCUCCCAUCAGUUUGUCUUUCAAUAUAAACAUCAACCAAAAUGGAACCAAUGAUUUCUUAGAUACAUAAUUUUACCUAGUUACUUCUGAGCUUAAAUUUCUUAAGGUACAAAAUGUGAAAUCAGACCUAUAUGCUUUUCAAUAUCUUAUCUAGAUAUUAAGCCUGAGAUCAUAAUAAAUAAAUAAGUAAGUAAGUAAGUAAGUAAAAAAAUAAAUAAAUAAAUUUCAUGGAAUGGGUAGAGAAAGGCUGCAAGAAAUAAUCUGGAAAAGAUAAAAAUACUAGCACUAAAUAAAAUAAUAACACUGAGUUGACCUUGUACUUACUUUUGGGUGCUGUUAAAUGUUUGCUAAAGUGAUAUGAAAAUUUUACAGUUUGAAUCAUCUUGAUACUUUUAAGUUAAGGUAGUGAAAGCACUGGAUGGAAUAGGAGCAGGAGCAAAGAGGACAAUAUAAGGCAUUCUCCUUUGACCUAAUCAGUUGGAUAAUAUAAUGUACACUAUGAUGUUAUGAUUAUGAGCAAUCUCCAUUGUUUCCUUUCCUUAUUAAACAAAUUAAAAAAGAAAAACAGUAGUGAAACAUGUAACUGAAACAGGUCACAGCACAUUUAAAAAAUAAGGUCUUUUCGCCAAAUGUCAAGGAUUGUAUGGUUUAGAUAAAGUGAAAAACUGACAACCUAGAAUUUCAUGUGAAAUUGUGACACUUCCAGAAACUAACUUACCCUGAUGUGAAAAAUAAGCUUCAAAAAUGCUAAUCAAGAGUUUCUUCCUAAAACAUUGAAGUUAUACAUCUUUGUGUUCAAAUAAUUCUAUACAUAUGUAAUCCUUAGAAAAAUAAAUAUAACACACUUGAAAAUCAAAAUGAGGCAGGGAAGUAAGGGCUCAUGAUGUUACUCUCUAAAACACUGAUGAUUGAUUCUAUAUUAGGUAAAACACUCAGCUGGAUGCUUGGUGAAUGGAACCUUAAUCCAUAUGAAGUUUUGCCGCAGUCCGGCUGGCUGCAGCAAAAUAACCGGGGGGGGGUGAUGAAUAACUUGUGUACGUUGAUACAGCAGGAGUGGGAGCCAUUUAUUGAAGGACAGGAGCAGUAUUUAUACAUUCCACACAGCUUAUCUAAUUAGCAUAAACUAGAUACAUCAGUCAACCAAUAAGGAAUCUCCACACUUAAUGGCUCGCUUUUGUUACUUCUCAAACCACUCCCUCUGGCAUUUUGCCAGGCACCAUCCAGACUUGUUUUCGAACUUUAACAUUCCCCUGACAAAAUGCCAGGUGUUAUUUUGACUUGUUUACAGACUCUAACAAAGUUUUAAGUCACUGGAUUUAUUGAAUUAAAUUUUUUACUUGUACUUCUUGUUCAGAUUUACCUUGUGACAUUGGAAAUAUCAUUGGGCUGCUACCUGACUCAUCAUGUAAAACUUUAAACGUCACUCACACGUUUACUUAAAAAAUAUCUACUGUGUUCUUUCUAAGUGCAAAGCAAAUGGCUUGCUGUAUGUUAGAUACAGUGACAAAUUUAGACAUGAGCCUCACUGAACUUAUUAUCUUGAAAGAGAGAGAAAAAUAAAAUGUAUAAAUAAUGUGUUCUUCCAGUUGUGUGAAGAACUAUUAUACAGGGUUGGAAGUGAAGAAUGCUAUAAAGAAGUUCAGAUAAAGCACAAUGCAUGUUCAGAGAAAGCAAGAUUAUUUAAGGUAGUAAUAAAUGGAAAGAUUUUGGAUGAUUUGAAAUUUGACCUGAGCAUAAAAAUGCAAGUGGAAUUUUAACAUGGGAAUACGAUAGAAGCAUAUUUCAUGUUUCAGGUGUAGGCACAUUUUUACCAAUAAGCUCUGUUUGUCUGGAAUGUAAAGUACUAACAAAUGAAAAAGAAAAGCACAACUUUAACUAAAUUUGGUUCAAAUUGUAAGAGGUGCAGAUUGCCACUGUUAGGAAGAUUAAACUUAUUCUGGGAACUUUAGUAUGACACUGAAGGGUUUUAAGCAAGAAGGGACAGAAAUCAGUUAUUCUUUUGGGAAUACUAUUGGGACAUGCAUAGACACACGCAAAGUGUGCAUUUGUCUUUCCUAACUAGAUGCCUAAAGGAAUUCUAAGAACAUUCUUACAAAGACUGGAAGAGGUAUCUUGCAUUUUUUCAUCAGCAACCUCAGGUACUACUCUUUAGAUCAACAGUAAUAAAGCUUAUAAACAGAAAAAAAAAAUCUCUACCAUAGCCUAUUUACCUUAAUGCUGAAACCAUGCUUCUUAUUAAAAAAAAAAAAAUAGUUCAGAUGACAGGAAUGUAAAAUAGGUGACAAUGGAUUUUCCGAAGUAAAUUAGUUGCUAAACAUGUCAGUGUUAGGAAAAAGAGCAAGUUUUAGGGCUUGAAGAACUGCAUUGCAUAUGAAUAAACAACACUGGAUUAGUGAAAAAUCAAAUGGCUUAGAGCUCAUCUUGGAGGGAGUCUCAAGGAGAAAAUAUAGUUAAUUAAAAACAAGAUCCAUUUAUCCACUCAUUCCUGCUGGAUGUGCCCUUUGCACUUUUAUUAGUGCUCAGAUUCAGUUUGAUGUUCUCACAUCCUCUGGCCUGUUUCCUUUGUGUCUAAAUUCCUUCAAGCCAGCACUACAAAUCUCAAAGAAGGCUUGUCAAAAUCUGUUUUGUGACUUUUCUAUAAGAUUAUCUUUUCCCCAGAAAAACUCACACCAGGAUUCCAGUUUGGGUAUUGAGCUGCCUGAUUCCACACUCAGCCCUUCAUACCUGGUCUAUCUUUGACACUUCAAAUACUUUCUUUCUAGGACAUAGAUUCCCUGUUAAUUAUAUUCACUCAUCUUUGCUUCACCUUGUUUGGAUGUCAGGGAACGUGCCUGAAUAUUAUUUGUGUUCCCCUUCACUGUUUUAAACCUGAUAGGCACUAAAAUAAAAAAAAAAAUAAAAAAUAAUACAAGUUAUUAAAUAAGUAGAUAAAUAAAUAAAUGCCCCCUUUGGGAAUAAGAACAACCUGAGGGAAAAAUGCUAUUAUUCAGUCCUUUUCCCAGACGUGAGUAUUUUGAAAUCACACCAUCUUCUCAUUUAACAUUAGAACAAAAACACUUCCAAUCCUUCAUGUGGUUAGAAAUCUAAACAUUGCCAAAGACACAUCUCUCAUUUCACACUUCAGAAAUGAUGCAAGAGAUCAUUUUAUUCCCCUAGGGCUUGAAAUAAUGGGUAGUCAUGGCAUGUGCUCUGGUCGGAAAAGACAACAGACUGCCUACAGUUUCUUUUAACCAUACCCAUCCAGACACCACCACAUCAUCACCACUAAAAGCUUCAUUUUUUAACAGGAAGGGGGUAAAAUGAGAACAAAACACUUGUAAAUGUGUGAACAGUUCAGUAAAUGUUAAUCAGCCCUUGAAGGUGGAAGAUAGCCUCUUUUGCACUCACUCAGGACUUGAGUACAGUGUGUGAGGUUUUCUACCCCCAAACCCAGGCUGAUUUUGUAAAUUUCUCUCUCACAAGUUAAUGUGUAAGAUCUUAAAUAAACUCUUCAGAAGGAAGAUACAACAUAAAUAAUGAUGCAUAUAGGGCUCUGCAUCAUUAUUUUUACCUCCUUUUGUUUUUGUUUUAUAGAUUCAUACAUAAGUUGUGUUGAUUUUUUCCUUUUACAUAAUUUACUAGUGUUGAUGAAUUCUGAUAAGAUAUUUUCCCAACCACAAAAGAUAUAAUUUUCUUAGUGGUAGACUCAUGAGUUUAUAUAGGGAGUUUACAACAGGUAAGUCACUGAUAAUAUUGCGUGAACUAUUUUUUCCCAGUUUUCUGUAACCUGGAAACUCAAGGGGUUGUGUAAGAACUGUGAUGUUUCAAACUUGAGAAUCAUUCUCUUGUUUCUGAGAACUUGGGCUGGUUUCUUGCAUUUUCUAAGCCCGUUUUGUUACCUAUAAAAAUGUGAUGACAAACUAAGGUAGUGGGAUGUCACAAGGAUAUAACUGCAUUUUAAGUUACACAAUAGGACUUUUUAGUGUAUUUUAUUUUACCCCAAUUUACAUCAAACAGUUUAAUGCAGCUUAAUUAGUUUUAUACUUCUAAUAAUCCAACUAUGCGUUCGGUUGACUUCAUCUUUGUUGAACAAAACCCCUUCAGAAGCCAACAGAAAAUUCUCUAAGGGUAAAAUAUAUGUCUCUUAAAUUAAUUUUCACUGAGAUUUAUUAAUUAACACAAUUAGUAUUAAGGAAAAAAACACCAAUAUUCUAUGCUCAUUUAUGAAAUAUAGGUGCAUAACUUGGUGUCUUCCCCACGACAGCUCUUAAGGAUUCUCUGUCUGUGAUUCACUUCCAUUGCUACUAUACCAGAAUAUGUAAUCUAAACAGCAAUCAACAAAGAUAUAUUGAGUUUCUAUAAAGUAUAAAGACAGGAAUCAUAAGACACUUUUCACAUAAGACACCAUUGGUAGUGAUACUCUGUGAUAAUUAAUGAAGGUUUGGAGUAAAUGUGUGGUUCAAUUCUCAUGUAUGUCUUCUUAUACAUUUCUAUUUUUAAUCAUAUUUGUGUAUAAUAUUUAAGUAACUAAAAGAACAAAAGAGCAUCUACUUUUAACAGGAACAUGCAGGAUAUGAUGCACAAACCCAGGGCUUUUGGUUUAAUGCUUUGCUGUCACCAUCUUGAAAGUCUUAAUAAUCAUGGAACAAGGGAUUCUAUAUUGUCAUUUUGCACUGGGCUCACUAGUUACAUAGAUGGGCCUUCAUCUACAUAAAGGUGGCAUUAUAAGUUGGUAUAUCAUUGGAAUGAAGUGAACAGUAUUCAAAGUUCUUGAAAGAAUCGAUGAGCUGAAGAAAAUGUUACCCCAAAAUGUAACACCUUGAAACUGGGAGCCAGCAGAAGCAGGAAAGGCUGCUCUCACCUUCCCCUCAUCCUUCUUCUCUGAAGCCACUGUAAAAGGCAGGAAGGUCACCUUCUCUUCUUCCUUGAAGAUGCUUAUGGGACAGAGUGCUGCCCUAAACCUAAAGGGAAGGAAAGACACAUGAAGAAUCUGAGCAAAAGUCCUUGCUGAGCCCGCAGUUUAUCGCUAUUAGGUUGUACCCUUCUCUCUUCCAGCUAAAUUUCUGCAUGACUGUCCAUAAAUAUGCACAAAUUUCCCUAUCUCUUUAGGUCUUUAUUUCUGCAGUCACCCAUUCUGCACAAAAUUUAUUAAAUACAUUAAUGGAUUUUUCUUUCAUUAAUCUUUUUUGUUAUAAGGGUCUCAGCCAUGAACCUUGUGAUGAGUAAGAAAAAGACAUUACUUUUUCUCCUAUACAUUAAGAAAGGUAAGAAAAAAAACCCCAGACAUUCCAUCUAAACAAACAGGUUGCAGCCGGAUAAAAUAAAAUCGAUAACAGAAACAGGUUAUGCAAAGCAUCUUGCUACUGCUGCAAAGGGUCCUGUCUCCAAUUUGUCUUCACUCACAUUGAAAUAGGGCUGAUCUCUCUAUUCCAACCAAAAGAUGAUUAGAAUUCUAUAGUCAUAAUGUUUUUCCACUUUGGUGCACCAACAUUUCUAAGUAGCAUCUGUUCACUGGGAUAGAAUAGGUUCCUAAGUGCAAAUUCAUACCUAUUAGUAAUCAAGAGUGUAGGCCUUUAUUAACUUAGCAAAAGUUAAUUCCUCUCUCCUUUAAACUUAAAGCUUCUGACCUUCUAAUAUGUGUGUGCUAUUGCCCUUUUGAAGAACCCCUUUGGGGACUAAUCGUGUCUAUAAUUCAUGCAAUAGGAACAAGUUGUUGUCCACAGACUGACAAGAUACUGUCAGAUGGGGCACUUCAUGACACAUUUGAACUUAAUUGGUAAGAAUUGUCAAAAUCCUGGUGAUGCUUCUGAAUGCAAGAGUUUAUCGAUCCAAGCUACCAAAUGAAGUUGCAUGAAGAAAAGCAUACCACAAAAUCUUUUUGAAAAACAGUAUAUAUCAACCCUCAUGUACAAACUGUUGAGAACCUUCACCAAUGACCUCUUUAUACAUGCCCCUUUUAAAAAGUUCACAUUUAUUGAUACGAACAUGUGAACGGCAUGCGUUGUGCCUGGCUUUUCUUAAGAGAGUGACUGAAACUUGCGCCAACUGACUGAGGAAGCCAAGCUCUUGCAGCUGACUGUUUCUGCAAACUGAUCUGCAGAGCUGCCAUGGUGGCAAAUGGCACUGAGAGGCACAAGAAAGUGGGACAGGAAAAGCACUGGGCAAGACACAGAAUGAUUGAUGGCAUCUCUGUUUUGCUGGGUGCCAUCUGUUGAAGACUACAAGGAGAUAGAUGAAUAGAAUAUAUAUUUUUUAAAUAGCUUGUUACUUUUAUGAAAUCAAUCAAUGUAAUAGAACUUAAAAAGUACAUGUUGACUUGCCCUCCCAGAUUCCAGCCCUUGUCUGCCUUCGCCUGUCAAAAAUAUUUUUGGUAAGUAAAAAGGAGGCCUUAUGCCAUAUGUGUUUUAAUAUGAUAAUUUUUAAAGUUUUUAUUUCCUUUUCCUUCCUCAGUUGAGAAAAAAAAUCUAUUUCAUAGACUGUAUGCCAAAAAUCCCUUGAAAAAAAAAUUCAGAACAAGUGGUUUCCUAUUUUGUGGUUGGUUAUUUCCUUCACGGACAUUCCCUAGGGUUCAAAGCUAUAAUUUUAAUUUAGAGUGGAAAAUGAAUAGUCAAAAUGUACUAAUACUACUGUGAAUUUUAGAUAUAGGGCUAGUGAAAACAUUGUUCUACCUUUCAUUGACAGCUUCUUAAUUUGACUAAGGUUUCUUGAUAACUUAUAUGUUUAUUAAAACCUGCUCUAUUCCCAACCCUUGCAAACUAUCUCCCCUCCUUUUUUCACCCUUACAGAGAAAAUAAAAGGAUUUUAUGUCUACACUUAAAUCCACUGUUUAAUGUUUGAAGUAUUAAAUGACCAUCAGGAUAUUUUUCAAUGAAUGUCAUCAAUGCUUCUUAUAAAUGGAGUAUGUUUCAGAAACCUGAUAUAUUGAUGGUAAGGUCCAGCCUAUAUUUCACAUGAAAAUAUGCACCAUUGCUGAUGAAGGAAAAGUUGUGUUGACAUUUCCAUAAGGAAUUUACAUAAAUCUCCACAGCAAUAGGACUUUAAAUAUUCCAUGAAUUUUUUUCUCCUGUAAGUCAAGAUCCUACAGUGAUUUAAAAUAAAAUAGAUUGUCUGUGCUACAAAAUGAAAAUUCACAUAUAUUCAAUUGCAUGGGUUAGAAAAGGGAUGUGAAGAACACAUUCUAUUCACUAACCCAUUUCUUGAAAAUAUGUAUGCUGAUUUCAAAUAUUUUUGUGGUAAGUAUCAAUAUUAAGUUAGCUUUUUUUUAAUAUAUGGGAUUGAACUUGGGCACUCAUCUAUGGAGCCACAUCUGUAGCCCUAUUUUGUAUGUUAUUAAGAGACAGGGUCUCACAGAGUUGCUUAGUAUUUCACUUUUGCUGAGUCUGGCUCUGAACUCACAAUCCUCCUGCUUCAGCCUCGGCCUCCCAAAGUAGCUGGGAUUACAGGCAUGCACCACCACACCCAGAAAGAUCACAUUUUAACCAUAGAAAAUUUGUGUAAAGAUGAGAUUAAUGCCAUAGAAAGAAAGUUGAAAUUUGCUCAAUUUAAUUAAUACUUUAUAGAGAUUAUGACUUUGUUAAAAAACAAAUUUGCCAUAGGUAGAUAAUUAUUCCUAGAGAAAAAAAUAUCUUAAUAUCUUUAAUAAAUUUUUCUUUGGGACUUGAAAUAACCAGUAUAUUGUAUGAGUUUGGGCAAAAUCUAAGUCCAGUUUUGUUUCCUGUUCCUGGUAUUUCGACAACAAAAUGGAGACCCAGUGAGAUCUAUCAUAUGGCUCUUAUAAUACAGAGGAAAAGAAUUAAACCAUCAAAAAUAAAAAACCUGACACAUUUCUUUUUUUUUUCCUCACAUCAUCAUACAUGUAUUUUGUAUAACGAUGAGGGUCUCCUUCAUCUUCUGUGCAAUUCCCAUUUCGAGAGAGGUGAUGGGAGGGGAGUGGAGGGGAGGGGGGAUAGGAAGGGAAGCAAAAUAGACACUAGUAUUGCUGUAUGUAUAUACGUGGCCGUAUAACCAAUGUGAUUCUGCAACCUGUACACUUGGAAAAAUGAGAAAUUAUACCCCAUUUGAUCCAAAUGUAUGAUAUGUCAAGAUCAUUGUAUUGUCAUGAGCAACUAACAAAAAAAAAUAAAAAGAUUAAAAAAAAACCCUGAAAGAAAAUAAAAACCUAUCUCUGUACCACCAGUCCGAUGAGUUAAAAGUUUUUUUUAAUUUCUUCCUCCAGAUAGAGUAAUGAAAGACAUUUUAAAGAAAUAUUACAUGUAAAUAGAAAUCAAGUUCAAACCUUGGUCCUUUACUUACUGAUGUUAGUGAGUCUUACAGAACAUGUCCUGGUUCCAGUUUAUUCUUACAUAUUGAGCUGUGUUGGAAUUGAGUCUUAUCAAAGCAGUCAAUAAUAUUUUCCAACAUUAAUCUGGACUUAUCUAUUAAUUCAUCAAAUAUUUUUUUCUGAGAGCCUACUAAGUGCUCUGCUAUGCAGCAUGUCACAAUCUUGUCUGUGAGAUACAAAAGACAUACUCCACUUCUAGCAUAGGAAAGCAUUAAGGAAAAAGUAGGAAAAGAAAAAAAAAUUAAAAAAAGGAAAUUCCAUUCCAAACAGAUGAAAUGCAUUUUCCUGCUGCCCUACCCCUAAUAGCUUGUUUAUUAUUAGCACUAUAAAUUAACAUGAAUAUAGAUGUAAAUAAGCUGCCCUACCCUAUUAGCUUGUUUAUUAUUAGCACUAUAAAUUAACAUGAAUUUAGAUGUAAAUAAAUAAUUGCUAUUAAUUUUGAGGAAUAAACAGAAUGACAAUAUCAUAUAGAAUGCAAACAAAUGUGAGAUCCCCUCCAGUGAUCUGCUAGUGUUUGUGUUUUCACAGUGGGAGUGUUGCUUUUAAAGUUCCAUUUAACCGACCCCCCCAUGUUGACCAACUCACCCAAUCUGCUCUAUUUUUCUCUCUAACUAAAGGAACAUGCAGCUUUGAGAAGUGGGAAGAAGACAGUGAUGAACUGGAGAAAGUAGUCAGAAAGGGGAGGAAUCAAGUAUAGAGUCUGGUAGACAGAAAAUAGCAUAGCUUUCUACCAAAGUUCAGGGGUAUACUUCUAAAGGAUGUGGUGGUGGAAGGGUAAAAUAAUAAAAAAAUAACUUAAAUUUGUUCAGAGAAUAAUAAUGAACACAUCUAUUAGAAUCAGAAAACAGUUUGGCAGGCAAAGUUUGAAACUAGGAGGCCUUUCAGUGUUGCUAUUAUUUCAUUGUCUUCUUUAGUGCUUGUGAUUUGGGUAUUUAUACAAAUACCAUUAAUCAAACCUUUCUCUGCAACUUAAUUUGAGAGUGUACACAGGUAGGAAUCACUGGCUGUCCAAUAUCAUGACAUUUCAAGGGGUUUUGGUAGUACAACAUCAUGAUUAUUAUAUUGAUCUAGUCUGGUUGACCAAAUAGAAACAGGAGGUCACAGAUUGUGACAACAGACAUAAGGAGUAAAGUCAAGAAAAAAACAGUGAUGAGGAGACAGACAAAAAGAAGUUGUAAUGUUAAAUUAUACUCAUAAAAAAGAAAAAGCUUAUGAAUAUAGUUUUAUGUAAACCGCUUCCCAAACACCUAGAUGAGCAUUUUAUAUAUGGAAGAUGUUCAGUAAACAUAUUUACCACGUGUCUCCAGGUGUUAUGGUGUCCUACCAUAUCCCAUUAUUCUGACCAUGCUCUAUCCCAUCUCUGCUAAACAUGGCGUACUCAACACUUCAUGUCAACUCCAGAAAAAGGCAAGAGAAGGAGCAUGUGGUCAGGAUUCAUGUGUUUUUUUAUUAACUGACUCUAAUUUUUUACUUAAAGAAUUGGAAUAGGUAUAAUAAUUUCAGCAUUAUUUUAAAGACAUUAGGAUUCAGGUUUCUAACAGUUGGGGGAGGAAACUCCUUCAAUAGGAAAGAGGAAAUGGAAUAAAAUUCUGUGGUUUUGAAUUGAAAUUGGACAUAUUGGUGUUAAAUUUUGUUUGUGAAAUAUGUAUCUAUAAAAAUCACAUAUGCAUGUAUGUAAGUAUAUUUUAAUUUAUAUGGAUUAAUGGAUAUAUAUGAAUAUAUAUAUGAAAACAUGUUUUCUGGCCUUGCUUGCAGAAACCUCAGCAGUGAUAAUACCCUAGUACCAAAGGCAAACCUAGUAUCUUUGCUCUGGUUUCUAAGACUCAGGUCUCCAAUAAAAGAAACGGGGGCUUUUGGCUAAAUGAUUGAUUCCAGUUUGGUCAAAGAAAUCAUAAACUAUACCUACCAGGUAGUUCCUGCCAGAAGAAAAGAUAUGGUCAAAUAACAAAAGAUAUUUUUCAUUUUAACAUGUUGUCAUGUUAAAAGGCUAUACGAAACAAUUUAAAGACAUAUAUGCUGCUAACCUUAAUACGAACAUCUGAAUAAGUGGUGAUUAUCACAUAUAGCUCAUUUAUAUACUUUUCUAAAGUAUAUAAAUUUAAUAACUGAAUAAACAAAUAGUCUGUGGAUUAUGUGGUAGUAUAAUAUUUAUGGUAAUUUUCUAAUUUUCAUAGUUUUAUUGCAGUAAUGCAGGAAAAUACCUUGUUUUAAGGAAAUAUACACUAUAGUAUUUAGGAAUAGUGGAGCAUUAUACUCUUAAAUGAUAAAAAAAAAGAAAUAGGACAUAUCAAUAUACUUAGAAACAGAGUAAGGAAAAUGUGGUAAAAUCUUAAUGAAAAUCCAGUGAAAUACAUAAAGGGUUUUAUUUAUUUAUUUAUUGACUUUGUACUAUUCUUGCAACUCAUUCUAUAAAUUUGAAAAAAAUAAAUAAACAAAAAAAAUAGAGGUCUGUUGUGUAUUUGAAGUUCUCUAACACCUAAUUUAACUUUGAUUGAUUUAUAAAGCAAUCUACAUGCAGCUGAGUUUCUUCUUAUAGUCCAUUUCAAUAAGCUACUUGUGAGAUGGUCUCUGGAAAGUUUGUGAAAGCAUUUGUCUUCAGUAGUAAGCAGAAUGUUCUAAUCCAGCUUUAAUGGGCGUGUGCGCGCACACACGCAUACACACACACAAAAAAAACUAUUUUUUUGCUUUGAAGCAUGUUUAUUAUUUUGAGUAAGAUGGAUAUGAGAAAUUAAUAUACAUUUAAAAGAAAGAGUUGACCCCACUCCUGUCAAUAGGUAGCUUGAAAAGUAAAAAGAGCAGUAUUACAAGGAGCAACCAGCAGUGUGUUGAGGUAGUGCAGGGUUUAAAGGUCCACUGAAUGAUAGUAGAAACCAGCAAACCUAAGAUCGGCAGAGAAAAAGAGCCUAUUUUGGAUUAUAAAGUAAUACCCCCCCACCCACACACUCACAAAGCAUUUUUCAAAAAAUCAAAGCGCUAACUGCAGGGCGUUAGACUCUGAUAUCUAUUCCAUGCACAGUCUCCAUCUGUCACAUCACAAUAAUAAUUAUUCAAAGGUCAUCAUUGAUUUAUCAAGGAAUGCCCAAUCACAUCCAAAUAUUCAUUUUACAGAGGAUAAGUAUUGAUUAUAGUUAGGAAGACUUCCUUGAAAUAGUUUAAAUUUAAACAUCCCAGACAUAUCUUAACAACAUUUAUUAUAAAGGUACUCGAAACAACAAAGAAUGGAGGGUUGUUAAUUUUAUGUAUUUAUGAUGCAGCAUUAUUCAUAGUAAACUUCAUUUUAAAGGUGAUAUAUAAGCAAUGUAAAUAAUAGAUAGCCAUUGUUGAAAAGGAAAAUAUGUAUGCUAAACAAUUAAUGACAAGGAUAUUUAUAAAUGGGAUUUUCAGCUAUGUUGAAUUUUUGCACUUCUAUUCUAUGAUUGAGUAAUAGUUUAUAUCUUUAUAUAAUUACUUGUACUUUUACAAAUAUAUAUAUAUAUAUAUAUAUAAAUAAAAAUGUUCUCAUGACUAUUGUCCAUGCCAUUCCAGAAAAUAUGCUAGUUAGACUACUUAUUCUCUGAGGAUUCUAGAAAGCCAAAGUUUUACUGUUUGAAAUAGUGUUGAUUAUUGAAAUUGAACUCUGCACAUUAAAACUGCAUGCUUUUUAGUACACAUAACAGAAGGUGAGAUGAUAAUAAUUUGGCAAAAUUCUCCAAUAGAGACAGACUAUGUAAAAAAUAUAUACUAAUUCUAUCAGAGGUUAUCCUAGUUUUAAGUUGAUAGAUUUCAGGCAUGACUUUUCAAAAUUUCCACUGAAAAUAAAUAUCAAGUUAUCUAUAAUUUUUUUUACUGUUGCACAAAUAGAUGUUACUUUCAGAAAACAUAAAUCAUUUUAUUUAUCUCUAUAAAAAAUAUGCUACCUCACAAAGAAUUAUAUGCUCACAAAAAAUUUUGCAAAAGUGGUCCUACUGUGGUCCGCCAAGAUCCAUAAAUCUUGGUAUCAUGCCGAUGAAAUGGUUCAUCCGUAAUAGUAUUUCUUCAAGAAUCAGAAAUAAUAAUCAAGGCAUUCAAAUAGAGCAGCAAUUCAGAAAUUAGGGAGCCUCCCUUACUGUUGUGACAACUCCCUUCUGACACCUACAAAUUAGUGGCUGGACCUUGGAAUGUGGCUUUGGAAACACAGUGUGUAUGCCCAGUGCAUCCAUAACCAGGCACUGACUGCAUCAAUAACCCAGGGUAGUGGUGUUUGAUGGGCUGAAUGCUUGUGCCCCUUCAAAAUUUAUAUUUAGAAACCCUGACUCUCAAUGUGGUUGUAUUUGAAGAUGGUGCCUUUUAAAUGUGAAUAGAACAUGAGGAUGGGACCCUGAUGAAUGAGAUUAGAGCCCUUGUAAAAGAGAUAGACCUCAGAGAGCCCUCUCCCCACUUCUGCCACAUGAGGACACAGUGAGAAGACAGUGCUCAAUAAACCAGAAAGAGGGUCCUGACUGGAACCUCUACAUGCUGGCAACCUCAUCUCAGACUUCUAGCCUCCAGAACUGGAGAAAUACGUAUCUGUGUUUACAAGCCACCUGGUAUGUGGUACUUUGUUAUAGCAGUCAGACUGACUAGGACAGGGAAAAAGUCUCCCUGUUUUCCAUCUUCUAAUUCAAGUGCAAACUGCAUCUAUAUGAGAGGAAUUCAUUUGUGUCUUAAACCUAAAUGCAAGGGAUUUUGAGACAUGUAAUUUGGAUUUUUUAAAAUGUGCUUAAGAGAAGUAAUAUUAGAAAGAUGGGUCAUGAAUUAUAUGUAUUAUAUUGCUAUGUUCACUGAACUCUUUUACUCACGCUUUCAGAAAUGUACUUCAAAACCUUUCAUAUAAACUAAAGUGGGUCACUUUGUAAACUGGCCAUCAUCUGUUUCUUCCCAUAAGUUUUUCUGCAAUUGUUCUUGUAUUUGAAAUCUUUCCUCUCUGCCAAAUGACAUACUCUAGUUUUACUUCUUAUAUUAUUACCCAGCUUUCUUUGAACAUGAAAAUAUUGCCCCACAGAAGACAGUUUCUGUCAUUCUGUAUCCAUUUCUGAAUAUUUCUAUUCCUUAGGAUUUGACUCCAAUUGUAAUACCAGGAUAUUCUGAAAAUAUGAGCAACUCCCCCUCAUUUUCAUUCCUAGUUUACUCUUAGGUUGUGUUUAAAGAUAAUCUUUUUCUUUUUCUUUCUUUUCCUGGUGCUGGGAUUGAACCCAGGUUCUUGUACAUGCAAGGCAAACACUCUACCAAAUGAGCUAUAUCCCCAGCCCAUGAAAAUAGACUUUUAUUGACUCUUAGAUAUCAGGACCUGAGAGUACCAACAAUGUUUGAUAUUUAUGUCAGUUUUCCUUGUAUCAACUAACAUAAUGUUUUUUUAACAUGGUAAAUAAUAAACAUUGGUUAUCUUAUUGAAUAAGGUGAUUUUGUUUAAAAUUUUAUGCUUUGAAAAGUUUUACAUGAAGCUAAAUUGUUUUCUAAAGGAAUUAGCAAAAUACACUGAGAUGGAAGGUAAAUUUUCAAGGAAAUGGAUAGUUACAUUUUGUGACAAUAAUAUUUCUUCCAGUCACUGUGGUGAGCCGCUUCUGCCGUUUCUGCAGACUAUGGUCGCCAUUACAAGAUGGCGCUGGCUCCGCUGUGGUCUGUGACAAACAACUCCUUAUUUGGGAGAGUUGGCGCAUGGUUUUUCACCACCCUAUGAGAAAGCUCCACGUGGCAGCUUCACAUUGGGGCUUGAGAUGCUUUAUUAAGGCUGGGAGGGGCAUCCGAGAGAGAGAAGAAGAAAUAUCAAGGGCCUGAAUAAACUGCUAAAAGAAGAUUCCUGAGUUGCGUCUUCCUUGCGGGCAAGGGGUCGCGACAAGUGGUGCCGAAACCUGGGAACCAGAACUUUCAGCAGUCAGGGGUGGUGCAUCAGUUAGUCCUAGGUAAGUGGGAUCUGCGACCAAAGCGGGGUUAGUCCCAAUAAGUGGGAUCCGCGAUCAAAGCGGGGUUAGUCCCAGGUAAGUGGGAUCCGUGACCAAAGCAGGGCAGCUCCUCUGUAAAGAAAGAGAGAGCAUUACAUUUUAUUGCAGCUGCACUGUGUACUUUCGAUUCUACUUUCGCUUUUGUUUUCUGUGUUUCUUUUGUUGUGUCAUUUCGCUUUUGU